This 56344-nucleotide long non-coding RNA is filed under the name Vitis vinifera (wine grape). RNAcentral describes it as "long non-coding RNA (VVIN_LNC002847)". The stretch from base 51201 to 51562 matches the Rfam family "Bacterial large subunit ribosomal RNA", at positions 2103 to 2453 of the family's 2925-position model. The record is from RNAcentral. Lineage: Eukaryota; Viridiplantae; Streptophyta; Magnoliopsida; Vitales; Vitaceae.
UUUUUUGUUGUACAGCUUCCAGAUUAUGGAAACCACAAGAGUCUUUCUGGAGGGCUUCAAGAAUAUCUCUAGAAAUCCUCAUUGGGUCAAAAGGAUCAGACACGCAGACCCACAUCCUUUCAUGGAAAUAGGUCGUCACCUUUUCGUGGUUGUAUGCUAAUUGAGCAAGAGUUGUUUUGCCGAUCCCUCCCAUCCCAACUAUGGAGAUGAUGUAGAGGGAGGAGCUUUCUUGGCAACUCCCACCCAACAGCUUGCCUAUUAUAAUGUUUAUAUCUGCAUCCCGACCGCAGAACUGGCUAACAUCAAUUACAGAACUGGUUAUACGUCUAUGUGGUUGCUGGAUGGUACUACUUGACACAAAAUUGAACUGAUUUUGCUCAUUUGCAAUGGCAUCUAGUUGUUUUCUUAUGUCCUUAAUCUUAAUACCAAUAUCACAGCACAAAAGAACUUGUUUGAAGCAAACACAAGGGGAGGGAAGGCAGGAACUUAUCUUGGGCUUAGGGAUGCAAGGGUUUUCAGCCCCAAUCUGUAAUUUGAGAAGAGCAGUGUUCCACCCAUCCACCACGUCAUCCAUCUGGUAGGAGAUGUCCUUGAGCCUUUCUAACCAAACUUUUACCAGUUCUUCUGUGAACUGUCUCUUCUCUGCAUCUCCAAGAACAGCUCUGAUGCUCUGGAGUGUGCUUUUUAGGUUGUCCACCUCGCUUUCGACACCCACCACCAGCGUAACUUGUUGACGAAUCUGUUGUUCCAAGACUGAAGCCAAUCGCUCCAGCACGAUAGAAACAAGAGCAUCCGCCAUAAGGGUUGAUGAAUAAGGAGGGGUUGAUGAAUCAAAGAAAAUGGACAGAUACAACUAAGAUCAAUGGAGAGAAAGGAUGUGGAGCUUUGGCGAGCUUAAUUAUGUUCCCUUUAAUAGAAUGGAAGAGAGGUAUAAAUGGAUUACUUAAAAAUGGCAUUUCUAUAUGACAAGAUAUGCUGAUCUUCUUCAUCACUUCUUCCCUUUCUUUUCCUUCUCAAGAGAAACCUCCAAAUGCAAUGCCCAAAUCUGCAUGGAAAAGCAUUUCUUGCCUCUUUGGAAUGGCAUUGCCUGUUACACAAGUUUUGGACAAAGGCAAAGCAUCUUACUGUAUAGAUUUUAUAUUCCAAUCUUGCACCGCACUUUGUCCAAAACAUUUCUCAACUUUAAUUCAGGUACAAAUCUACUUUCAAUUCUAUUCUAGAAAAGCUAAGCCGAUUUCUAGUGUUUAUAUAUAUAUAUAUAUAUAUAUUCUUACAAAUAAUAAGUCUCUUAGAAAAUUUUAAAUAUCACUAUAAAGAAUUUAUAAGAAUAUAUUUGGUCACAACCACAAAAACUAUUAUAAAAAAUAUAAUUAAAAUUUUUUUACCCUAAUAUUGUUAUUAUUUAAUGAUUUAUACUCAGUCUAACAUUAUAUUUUUAAUAAUUAUCAAUGUUUUAAAAAUCAAAUCACACCAAUCAAUCAAAUUGUUGGCUAAAUCUCAAUCCUGUUCAGUUCAACUAAUUGGACCACAAUGGGGUCAAAAUGGCAUUGAACCGAAGUCAAACUGACAGUACAAUCGCUAAAUUGGUGAGUUGGCUUAGCGGUUCAGUUUAACCUAUUGUUAUGUUUGUCCAACUCAUUGGGAUCUUAUUUUUUAUCCCUAAUCCAUAAGCCCAUCAAAUAGAUGGACCAUAGGAGAAACUCUUCCCAAUUCGUUAAGCAAGUUGACUCAUGUUUGAUUGAAUUGGUAUAUUUACAGGGUGAUAAAGGUGGGUGGAGUCACUCGAUGUGGGAUCAAGGAGCCCUUUUUUAAAGAGCUAUAAAAGGGAAUGCACAGAGCCUAGUUGGAAUGUUACAACUUUGUAUGAAAAAAACAUUAAAAUAUUCCAAAACUUAAAAAUAAAUAUAAAAAAUUAUGAUUUAUCUAAUAGUAUAUGAUAAUAAAUAUCAAAAUAAUAUAGAUAAAACAACUAAUAAUUUUGAAAAUAAUAAAAUAUAUAGCUAUUAAAAUCUAAACAACUUUAAAUAAUAAAUCUUAUUUAUAAGAAUAAUUAUAACUUAAAUAUAACUGUUCACUAUUAAGAAUAUAUUUGGUUUCAAUAACAAAAACAUUAUUGGAAAAAGCAAGAUUAAAAAUUACCUUAAAAUAUGGUUAAUAACGUGCAUCUCUUUUAAAGUGGUUUUAAAACAAUUAAAUAAAAUUUACUGCGUCAUCCUUUAGCAUGUUUUGCACUUUACCCUUUUAUAUUCAAAACCAAAUACUUUGCCUUUCAACUUGUUAAGGAACAAUGCUUUGCAUAAGGAAUUGCUUUUUUUGCACUUAACCAAAUACUUUGUCUUUCAACUUGUUAAAGACCGACGCUUUGCAUAAGGAAUUGCUUUUUUUUGCCCUUUUGAACAUUGGUUCAAAUUUAGGUACCAUCAACUUGAAAUUAACAAAUUUGAAGUGGAAUUUCUUAGACACUUUCAAAAUAUGAUGUUUAUAGUUUUUAUUUUUUAUUUUAGAGAGAUGUUCAUAUAACUAUAUAUAUAAAAUAUAAGAUUUUGAAUGUGAGAGGGCAGAAUGUAAAAUAUGUCAAAGAUUGAAUGGGUAAAGUAUAUUUAACCUAGUUUAAAAUAAUGUUUCUUAGAAACAAGAUAUUUGUAGAAAAUACCAAGUGGCUAGUAUUCUUUUUCAUGUUGUUAAAAAUGUUAGUGAUUUGAUAAUUAAUAAUGACAAAGAAAAUAAUACACAUAUUAAAUUUUUUUAUUUUUUAUUUUUGCAUUUUCCUUUGUUUUGUUUUUUUAAAUGAAAAUUAAAAAAAAAAUCAUUUUCCUUUCCACACCAUCCAAGCUCAUCAUAUUAAUUAACAAGUUCAUCUAUAUCUUGUUAUUUCCUACUUUCUAAGAAAAAAAAAACAAAAACAAAAGAAGGAAAAUAUUUUUGACAACUUAAAAAAUGGAAAAUAAUAUAUUUUUAGAAAACAUAUUUUAAUUAUUUUCACUUUUUUUAAGUCAUUUUAAAAAAUAACAAGACAAAUAUGAAGAAUAAUUAAAAUAAAAUAUUAUAUAUGAAAUUUAUUUUUAAAAAUUAUUUUAAAUACAAAAAAUAAAUUGAAUAUAUUCUAAUUUUUUAAACAAAAUUUUAUUCAAGAAAGGAACUAUUUUUGGGAACUGUCUACAAAAACUAAUUUUUAAUAAUAGCUUUUGGAAACGUUCCUAACUAUAGACCCUAAGGUUCCAUUUGGUUUGGAUUUUUUUAUUCCAUUUUUUUUAGAAUAAUUUUUUAUUAUUUUUGUUCCUAAAAAAUGUAUUUGAUUAAUAAAGUUAAAACCAUUUUAAAAAAUAAAAUCUAAAAAAUAUUAUUUGAUUUUAAAUGAAAUAUAAUUAAAAUUUUAUAUUAUAUGCAUGUCAUGUGAUAAAUAAAAAAACAUGCUUAUACAGUAGUGAUAAGAUAAUAUCUGAUUUCACAUUUAUAUAAUAUAUCAUGUUUUAUUCAUUUGAAUAUUUUUUAUAUUUGUAAUAUUUAUACUUCUUUAUACCAUGCAUAUCAUAUAGGAAUGGCAACGGGACGGGUUUGGGACGGGUCACCCCUAUCCCAUUCCCAUCCCAAAAUAUAUGGUUAUUUCCCAUCCUGUCCCAAACCCGGUGCGGGGCGAGGUAUGCACUCUCAUUCCCGUUUUGAAGUUAUGAUUAAAAUCCCAUUUCGGGCCCGUCCCGACCCGAGUAUGUGUAUGCACCUUGUGUUGCCCAAAGAGAGGGGAAAACAAUGAGUUACAGCCUUACAAGCAGUUCAAGCACCUUAUGUAUGCAUGUAUUUCUUGACUAUUACAAAUCUGGUGGACGUUUGGACUCUCCAAAUUUUUUUAUUAAGCUGCAAUUACAAUGAUCCCAAUAAGAAGGACAAUUCCAAAUAUCACUAACAAAUCUCUCAUCUUUUGCCCAAAAACUGACAAAGAAACACCCAAAACCAAACAAAUCAACAUUAAAAAAAAAAUACCUAAAACGAUUCCUAUGGAGAAAAUGGCAGUAGUGUAAACUGAUGAGACUACUAGUAGUUGUGAAUAUGAGAUAAACAAGGACAAAUCUAAGAGUAGAUGGAGAAAAUGAGAUUAUUGAAUGGAUUUUUGGAUGGAUUAUCUUAUGGAUUUCUGCAUUGAGUGGGGGGAACAACAACCCUAGUGAUAGAGAGGAACAAGAACCCUAAAAUGAGAGAGGAAAAGCAGAAAGGAUCAAAGAAAGCAAAUAUUUAUAAAUAGGGGUAAACUUAUAUUUUCAUAUUCAGGGCAAGGCAGGGCAUAUUAUUACUAAACCCAAUCCCACCCCAAACCCAAUUCGGGUUUUAAAAAAAAAAACUUGAACCUGUCCCAUACCCGUUCUAAUAGGGAUGGGUCAGGGCGGGUGACCCGAAAAACCCGUGAAAUUGUCAUUCCUAAUAUCAUAAGGUUAUUUACAUAAUUUAUUUCCUUCUUUGUUUUUAUUAUUAUUAUUAUUAUUAUUAUUAUUAUUAUUAUAUUACAAUUCAUUCAUUUAUUAUUAUUAUUAUUAUAUUGCAAUUCAUUUAUUAUGUUAAAAUCACAUAAUAAAAUAUUCAAAUAUGCUCAUAAUUAAUCCACUAAAAUGAAUAUGUUUCUAAUAUGAAAAUGUAUCUUCCUAUAGUUUAAUAAAUAGAACAAAAUAUUUAUACGCUAUUCUAAGAGGAUAUUUGCUUUCAAUUAAUGUAUAUGGGAUUAUAUAUUAUUCAUUUCAUAUUUUUUUAUAUUUAUAAUAUUUAUAUUUUGUUAGUAUUAUUUGUCUUAGGAAACAAAGUAUAAAUAAAUAACAAGCCCACAUCAUAUCAAGAGAAGAGCCCCUAUGGCAUGUGUCAUAAUUAUUAAGGAUUAAAUCUUAAGUUUAGAAUCUUAAAAUCAAAUAAAUUAUUUAUUUGAAUAUUAAAAUUGAAAGAUUCCUUUUAUUAUCCAAAAUUCUAUUUUAAGCAGAGAAAAUCUCUUAGGAAUGAGGUAGGAGGGAGUAAGAGAGAGAGAACUUUGCAAGAUUCCACAAAUGUGUUCCUAGAAAUUUUCAAAUUUUCCUUAAACUCAAAUACCUUCUUAAACUUAAAAGAAUGAUUUCAAAGGGAAAGAAUAAAGACCAAUAUUCCUAAUUGGUCCUUAGCUAAAUCAACCAGAAGUAUGUGAUUGUCAUCCUCGAAUCAAUAUUAACUUAAAAGAUCAAUGUGUUCUAGAAAUCCUCAAAUUUUCCUUAAGUUCAAGUACCUUAUUAAACUUAAACAAUGUUCUCAAAGCAAAUGAGUCAAGAUAAAGCCUAAGUGGCCCUUAGCUAAAUCAAUCAAUAGUAUGUAAUUCUCAUCCUUGAAUCAGAUUUGAUUAAAGAUCGAUCAAUCGAUUAUAACUUAGAAGAGUAAUCAAUUAUAACUCAAAAGAUCUAUAUAUAUAUAUAUAUAUAUAUAUAUAUAUUGAUGUGAGUAUAUAUGUGUAUGUAUAUAUAUAUAUAUAUAUAUAUUUGUGUGUGUGUGUGUGUGUACACUCACAUUUUUAUUAAUAUAAUUUUUUCUAUCAUUUUCAACAAAGGAUUGUAAUCACAUUUUCAUUAAUAUAAUAGUUUAAAGAAGAUGACAAAGGAUUGUAGUCACAUCUACUCAUAUCUUUAUUAAUAUAAUUUUCUUUGUUAUUGUCGACAAAGGAAUGUACUCACAUCUUUAUUAGUAUAAAUUUCUAUACUAUUUUCUCAUUUUUUGGCUUCAUAGAAUAAAAAAUUUGUACAUGCAAGUUUCUAGUACACCCAUGGGAUUGUGUCUCAUCUCUUUUAACUGAAAUUCCUCUUUCCAUCCUAAGUUGAGAUAAUGUGUUAAAAAAAAAAACCAAGUCAUACACAUACUUUUCAUCCAAAGUCAAGUUAAUGCUUUCAAGAAAAAACCUAGUCAUACACAUACAAAGGGAAUGGUAACAAUGGCAUCACCUCAUGACUAAAGAAUACUGUUAAUAGUCUAAUGACAUGUAGCAAGGCAAAGACAAUAACAAUUACUUUAACUUUAAACCAACAUAUGUUGAUGCACUCUCAUUCAUCAUUACCAUUCAAGACUCUCCAAUUUUAAAGUUGAAGUAUUUUUUAUAUAAGGAAAUUAAUCCAGAUUAGUCAUUGAAACCUCUAAUCCUUGAACCAAAAAAGAAAAUAAAAAAGAACUAACAAUUGUAUGAUAGUUAAGUCAUCUCCACAUGAAACUUUAGAUUAGCGGCAAUUGAGGUAGUAAAUUUUAGGGUGUGAAUGUUGGUUAGAAGCUCAAAAAAGUGAUUUUAUACACAAAAGAGGUAGAGAGAAUUUAAAGAACAUAAAAUUGAAGGAAAACAAACUUUAGGAGUUGAGAUUCACUAGGAUCACCACUCUUAGGUACAGCUUACGAACAAGGCCUUGAACCUAUGCUUUUGGCUUUAGGAUCAAGCCAACGGUUUAUACCGAAAAAUGUUCCUACUUGAAAUGAACGAGAACCACCCUAAUAAGGUUCAACUCCUUUUGAUUGCUCUCUUUUGGAUCCUUGCAACCAAAUAAUUUACAUGAGUUCCUUUUCACGUCAACAAGCUUGUGCAUAAUUCAAAGAAUUUAAAAUAGUAGUUAGGCAUGCUUCCAGGGUUACUUGAUUUAUGGCCCUCACAACCAAUGUUGUAUACACCUUUCUUCGCAUGGUUACUCUUUUUGGUCAUCAUAAUCAUUAACAGAGAUCAAAUUCUUUGGAGCCAUGUGCAAAUAAACUAUUAAAUUGAGAUAUGGGAAACCUCAGCUCAUCUUACCCCUUGAAAUGUUAAAGAUUACCUAAACAUAUUUGAGAACUAAGAGAAAAACCAAAAACAUAAAUUUGCAAGAUGAAACUAAAAACUAAAAAAAUAAGAUUAAUUGAAAAGACUGGAAAAUUCAUUAACUUGGAAAUCAAAGAAAGGUUACAAAGAAAAGAAACGAUUACAACUAAGAACUAAAACUAAUGUUAAGUUACUCCCACUCCUACGAGAAAGAAAGACUAUCUAACUUUUUAUCUCUAUCAUCUACUUCUAUUUGUAUAUUCAUAGUCCUUCUUUUAAUCUCAAUCUCCCCACAUUCCAACUACUCCCAUGCCAACUUGUCUAGAUUUGCCCUUUGCCCUUUGCCCAUGUUGUGGAUUUAGUCUUAUGUUAGUGCAGUUAAUCAAUCAUCAUUCUUGAUGUGUUAGCUUGAAGUUGGUGGUUGCACCUCUUUUUCUAUGUAAUCAACAUGGGGUAUGUUUUGGUAGUACAACUGAAGAUUUUGAGGCAUGAAUGAUUGUGCUACUUUGGUAGGUGUGUCAAUCAUUAGAAAAAUUGAGUGUGUAGCUCUUACAAAGUAAGGAACAGUAUGCAGGUUUCAAUGACAUCCAGGGGUGCACUUUAUUAUUAGCGAAUGAACUGCACAUUUCAAGUCUUUAGGAGGUGCAUUGCUUUGGCAUUUUGCUAGCUUAGGUGAAAGGUGCACAACUUCUUAGUUUAGCACAAUUAAGAAGUGUGCAAUUUGUGUUGCCUAAAGGGGAUGAGCAAUUUGGUCCAACACACAUGAAAGGUGGACAAAAGAGACUUUAAGCAUUAGUCUUCAGGGUGCAUACAAGAGGUGCGUUGUGUGGCUCUACACUGAAAAAGGAAUGCAAAAUUAAGUCUUACGCACCUUAAAGUACACAAUCUACGUUUGGUUUCUACAUGUGCACUUUUCUCCCUAAGAGUUCCCAAAAAAGCUCUACUACAUAAAAAAAAAUCUUAAAGCUCAUAGAAUACUCACAAAAUGCAUGAAACACAACUUUUUAAGGUACUAACAACAAGACCAAGCAUUAUGUGAAUUCUAAGUACCCCGGACAUGCUAAAAUAAACUCUUUAAAGCCAUCAAAGCAGUGAGUUUGAGUUCUCAUCAAUUACUUACAAAGAAUCAUGAUACACAUUGGUCAAUCAUCACUCUAGUCUCCUUAGGGGGAAUGACACAAGUGUCAAAUUCCUAGAAAAAAUCCACUCAAGCCUUAGAUCUCUCCAAAUGAUGUAUGCAUCUAUAAAUCCUAAGCACAGUAGAAACUAAUAUGUCUCUUAAAACUUAUUCUAAGGUGAGAAAUAACUAGAAAUCACACCUCAGAUUUAGAUGUUUCCAAAUCCAUUUCCAAUCUAUGAAAAAUAAUCUCAAAGGCCUAGAGCCACCUAAUAGCUCUUCCUUUGAUCAUGACAAUAAAGAAGGGAGGACUUCUCUCUAAAAAGAUAAAGGAUAGGUUUUUUCUCUCUCUCUAGAAGACAUCAAUGAAUUAGAGUCUUUAAACCUAAACUCUAAAAGGGUUUAUGUAGACCUUCUUAUAGGCUUACAUGACUUAAGUCAGAUUAACUCUAACUCCAAGGAGCAUAUGUUAAAUUUCCACUAAAGAAAAUGUUAUGGCCAUAAUAUUUUAAAUCACAUGUCUUUUGGAUCACGCAAAGGGACAUAUUAUCUCAAUCCAUGAGAUAUCAUGGUGCCUCUAUUGAGAAUACUUAUUGUCACCGGCCUUCAUCAAUAGUGACCCAAUCCACAACGAUAUGACUACUUUAAGGUCUCAUCCAUAGGUCAAAGUCUCCUGUUAACUUUGGCACAGGCUCAAUAUCCUCUCAAGGUUGAGAGUUCAUGCAUUAUAGUAGCUUAAUGAAUCAUAACAAUUGAUAGUCUUAGGUCAUGAUUCACGUAGGUCUUGUCUAGUGUGACACAAUGGCCUAGACAAAUCAUGAUCCCUCCAAUUAGGAGGAAAUGCACUACAAUCUCAAAUGGAUUGCUCAAAUCCAUAAACAAACUAUGGACAACUCAUCAUUCUACAAGGAACUCAUGACUUGGGUCUUCUAUGUAAUUCGUAAUGCACCCAAGUCAUGUACAAUGCAGGUGAUGUGGGGCAUGUAUGCUCAAAGAGUCCAAUCAAUGCAUAAUGAGAUAAUAAAAGAAAAAACUAGAAACAUGAAUAAAUAAAUUUAUAAAUGAAUUUUUAUCUAUUACAUCACAUCAUGCUUUCUAAGGCUCAAUACCAAUAGUUAUAACCACUCGAUAGCCUUACAUCAUGACUUAACAUAGGUUAUGUCAAAUGUGUAAUAGUACACACUAGUGCACUCACCAUGGGAGCCUCAUCCCGAUGAUCAAAACAAUUUAUCCCUCAAAUUAGGAGAUAGUGCAUUAUCAUCUCUAUCAGAUUGACUAAACUCAUGAACCGACUAUGAACUAUUUUUCAUCUUGCAAGGAACCCAUGACUUAUAUCAUCCAUGCAACUCUUGAUGCAUCAAAGUCAUGUACAAGAUAAAUGAUAUGAGUAUGAAUGCUCAAAUCAAUAUCAAUGCAUACAAUAAAUAGAUAAAGUGGAAGCUCAAGUCUAACUUUCUUAUAUCAUGUCUUACUUUUAAAGGCUUUAUCCCAACAUAUAUGACAAGUCAGGUCUAGUGUCGGUUAGAUAGAUCAAUUUUCCCACUAGUCUCUGUUAUCUCUCUUUGUUAAUUGGAAUUUGAUGAGAAUAGAUGGACAUAUCAUGAUUUAUCUCAAUGGAAAUAUCUACAGGUUUGUAAUUGAAGUUACCAGUUUCAACCAAGAGAUCUGAUGUAUGCUUUUGUUAUGAAAAGAAAAGUCCUUACUUCGACUCAAUGCCCAAGAAGUAUUUUAGAGCACUGAAGUCCUUCAUUUCAAAUUCCUUAGCCAAAUAGCUCUGAAGCUUCACUAUUUUUCUAGAGUUACUACUUGUAACAACCAUGUCAUCAACAUAAACAAUAAGCAUAAUAAUGUCAUCACCAUUUCUCUUAUUAUUUAGAGUGUGAUCUACCAUAAGUUGUUCAAAACCAUACUCUUUUUCAUCGAGUAGCUCAACUUUCCAAACCAUGCCCUUAACAAUUCCUUUAACUCAUAUAGAGCAUUUUUUAGUUUACAUACCUUGCCUCUUUUUGGUGUAAACCCUGGAAGGGGAUUCAUGUAUGCCUUCUCUAACAUAUCACCAUGGAGAAAGGCAUUCUUCACAUCAAACUAUUGUGAUGGCCAAUUCAAAUCGACCAUAAGAGAGAGUAUGACUCUAACAGUGUCCAUCUUAGUCACAGGGGAAAAGUCUCUUGAUAAUUAAUUCCAUAAAUUUGAGUAUAUCCCUUUGCAACCAAUCAAGCUUUGUACUUGUCAAUUGUCUCAUAUAACUUAUACUUUACUGAAAACACUCAUUUACUUCCCACUAUCUUCUUUUCCUAAGGGAACUCAACCAUCUCCCAAUUAGAAUUCUUUUAGAGAUCCUUCAUAUCUUCUACCAUAGCAAACUUCUAUUUAGGAUCUUUAAGGGUCCCCUAAAAAUGACUAGAAAUAGACACAAAAGACAAUUGAAAAGCAAAAGCAAGGUGAGUCUUAGAUAGACGACAAUAAGAGAUGAAAUUAGAAAUAAAAUAGACAACAUUAAAGGAUGAUUUUAAGAAACCCAACCUAUCAGGUUCUUUACCAUCAUGAAGAGGAUAUCUCAUACCUUGAUCACCAAUUUGUGGAUUCAAGGUAGAAGUUUCAAAAGUUACAAGUGAAGGAACAUGUACCUUAGGAUUAGUCUCAAUGGAAAAGUCAUUUAAUGGUAUGGUAAUAUCAUUAAUAGGAGUAUUGAAACCUUGAAAAGGUAUGACAUUAGCAUUUUUGUUCUUUCUUAUAUAACCUUAUUAGAAUAAUUUGGCUGGUCUUUCACACUUUCUUUUCUUAGAUUCAAACUCAGUUGUCAGAGGGUUGGGAGCAUCUAAAGACUCCCCCUUAUGCAAAUCAGUUGAAUCCUUACUAUUAAUCUCCCCUUAAAGAGGAAUUAGAAACACAUUCCCAUAAAAACAAUACUCCAGUUUACAGAAGUUGACAUCCAUGGAGACAUAGUAUUUUCUUGUAAGAUGAUGAAAACAUUUAUAGCCCUUUUAAGAAUUAGAGUAACCAAGAAAGACACAUUUAAGAGCAUGAGGAUCAAGCUUAUCCCUUUGAUGAGAGUGUAUACAAGCAUAACAUACAUAUCAAAAACUUUAAGACAAAGAUUCAAAACAAAAGGAAUAGGGUGAAAUCGUGAUAACAUUCACAAAGGACUUUGAUAAUCAAUGACAUGAGCAGGCAUUUGAUUGAGAAGAAAUACAACACUCUUGAUAACCUUAGCCUAGAAACGUUUUGGGACACGCAUAGUAAAGCAUAAAGCUUGGGCCACCUCUAGAAUGCGUUGAUUUUUACACUCUACUAUGUCAUUCUUUUAUGGUGUGUAUGUACACAUUGUCUAGUGGAGAUUCCAUUUUCUUUGAAUAAAUCAAUAAGGGAUUGAAUUACAAACUCACAACCAUUGUCAGAGUGAAAGACCAUAACCUAAGUAUUAAAUUGUGUAGCAAACAUUUUGGAAAAUUGAGGAAUAGAACUUUCUAGUCAUAAAGGUAAAUUGCUUAUAUCCUCAAUAAACUCAGCAACCUUCAAUGGUUUAGUGAGGCUCCUCUAAAGGUAGGUGAAAGUGUUAUGAACCCUCAUUUGGCCGGGCGCUAAGCACUAGGACCAAUGAAUCCUUGUAAAGUGGUCUUAUAUGACAAAAACUCAACUUAUUACUUCUUAUUCAUCUCUAACUUUUGCAACUUUACAUGUCUUAAGUUAUUCAAGUACUGUAUAGGUUGAUUCAGAAACAUUUAAUGUCAGCUCUCAUCAAAAUGGUAAACACAAGAAGUUAAGUCAUAAGAUAAAAAAUAUCAAUUUUUACAAAUAUACCAAUAGAAGGAUUUUACAAAUAUAUUGGAAAAUAUCAACAAAAAUUUUGACAAAAAAUAUCGAUAUAACCAAAUUUGAUCAAAACUCAUAAAAACAUUUAGGAAAACUUCAAAAUGAUAAAGAAACAAUAAUACAUAUAUUGAAAUCGCUUUGUUGAAUAAAUUAAUACAUGUAUAAUAUAAGUUAUUAUAUUCAGCAACAAUAUCAUGUGUAUUGAUAAGAAAUAUGAAUUUUCUAAAUGUACACUUAAUAUUAAUUUACAUUAAGUAUUUAAUUUAAUUAAAUGUCAUGUCAAUAAUUUAUAAAUAUUACACUAUAAUGGUUUCUUUUUGUACUAAAAUGAAUAUCAUUGUGAUUCCAUAACACUAUUGAAUGAAGGAAUCUUAUCUCGAUGAGACAAUAAUACAUAUAUUAAAAUUGUUUUAUUAAAUAAAUUAAUAUAUGAAUGAUAUAAUUCGUGACAUUCAGCAAUAAUAUGGGAAAUUUGAAAAUACAUUUAAUACUAAAAUGAUGAUAUAUCUACUUUACAAAUAUAUGUGUGAUUAUUUUUAUAUUUAAAAAUAUUUAUAAUUUUAUUUACAUAUUUAUAUAUUUUUCGCAUUCAACUCAUGAUUUUUGGAUUUUCAAUUGUAAAUUAAAUGGAAUUUGAAAAUAAGAUAAUUAAAUUAAUUUGUUUAUUAAAAUUUUAUUUUUCAUAAAUGCAUACAAAAUUUACGUGUCAAUAUACUAUAUUAUAUAAUAUGUAGGGCAGGAAAUUUAACAUGGCAGGGUUGCCCAAGUGGAUGGAAGCCGGCUUUUCACGGGAAAGAAGAAGGUUGAAUCGGAAAAAAAAAAUUAAAAUUCGAUAAAUCAGGAAAAAAAAUCAAAAACUGACUGGAAAUUUCAACCAUUCGAUGUAUCUCAUAAUAUUUUCUACAAGGGACCACCAAAACCCAAAAUGUCGAUAAUAUUUCGCGAAGUUUUGAAGUAAAAACUAAAAAUUAAAAAUAAGAUUUUAAAAUCCGUUUGUCCAUAUUUUCUAUAACUUAUUUUUAAAAACUGUUUUUAAGUUAAAAAAUAAAAAAUUAUUUUUAAAAACAAGUUUUAAAUAACAUAAUCAAAUGAACCUAUAUUUUUCUUUUAUUUUUAAGAAUUGUUCUCUAUUUUAUCUUAUUUUUAAAGAACAAUAAUUAAAUUGUUAGAAAUUUUUAAAAACUAUUUUUUUGUUUAAAAAAUAAAUCACAUGGCCAAACAGGCUGUGCAUACACUCGAGUAUGGGGCACAAUUUUUAUUGCCACAAUAAGUCAAACUCUAUCAAAACUCUUAAACAAACUUCUACAUCUUUAAUUUCUUACUAAAAUUAUUAAUUUUUAUUUAGAAAAUAGAAUAUUUGAGGUACACAAAUUUUGCAUACUCUUGUCAAUUUUUCUUUAUAUAUAAUUUUUCUUUAUUUAUUUUUUAAUUGUUGAAUUUAUUACAUCUCAAAUUUUGUAACUGUCCUUACUAAGAUUUUAACCAUAUUAUUUCCAUGUUUUUGUUGUAGAACAUCUCUAUAACUAAAAUUUGUGGGGAUUAAUUGAUUGAAACUAAGGCCUCGUUUGGGAUGGCUUCAUACAUUUAAAAGGUAAUAUUGAUCUUACAAAAGUUCCAUUAUCAAAAUAAAAUGUAUACUUGAAAUAUCAUUUUCCAACCAUAAACUCUUCGAACAAAAUUAACCGAACACAUGUAAAAACACUUAUUAAACCUAAAAAAUAGCUUUUGACUUCUUAAAAUACUAACUUAUAUCAUCUACAAAAAGUGCUAUCAACAAAAGAGCUUAUGAUAAUUAACACUCAUAUUUAUCAUUUGGAUCUGCAUAUUUUACCAUGGGCUCAAGCUUAAUCAUGUUUGUAAGAGCAUAUAGAUUUCACUUGCUCUAGCUAGUUUUCCACCCAUUCCAACUGGCAAAAGGUCAACUUUAUGUGAACUUAAAAGGUGUUGAUUUCACUGUACAAAAGGAACUUGAAUUUCAGUACUGAGACUAGAUGGCACUCUCCAGCUUGGGUGAGACCCACCUAUGGUUGCUCUACUCUAGGGGCCAUUGUGCUCACCUGAUCAAUCAAAGAUCAUCAAACAAAUACAUUUAUCCUUGUCACGCAUUUUAACUUCGCCUUGAAUAUUUAAGACCCCGGCUGAAUAUCAAAACAGAGUUUCAGAUUUGGAGCUUCUAGACAUGGAAGGAACAAGGGUGAAGACCUUAAGCCACACUGGCAAGACAAAACAGGGGGAGAAAAAGUGGAGUUGUUCAUAGAACGUAUAAUUACAAUUCCAAAAACAGAGAGUUGAUACCAUAUCUGGAUGCCCCUUGAAAUUGAAUUUUGCUAUCAACUGGUGGCAGUUCAUAAAAAGAGGAGAGGACUGAAAGGAAAUCCAAGUAAUGUACAUUUCAGACAUGACUCCGUUCGAUGCAUAAAAAAGCAUUACUAUUCAAUAAUUGAAGCAAAAUGUUAACAAAGAAGAGAGAAGAAAGACUUCCUCAAAGAAAUUUCUUUUUAAAAAGAAAAAAUAUUUCACUAUUAAUUCUUCUACAGCAUUUACCUCAAGCAGAACCUUACCCCAAUAAGUUAGAUCUACAUCAACAGAUUUCAAUCCUUGAGUAAAUUACAUAUCCUGAAAAUCUGCACAAGAAAUAUCAAGACACCCAUGAAUAAGAAAAAAUAAAUAAAAAAGAGGAAAGAAAGAAAAUGCAAAAAAAAAAAAGAGUCAAAGGUGGUUUUAGGAAAUUUGGACUGCUAAUAACCCGGCCAGGAAGAGUAUGUUGGUUCAACUGCUGACACAAACUGGAUGACUUCACAAAACCAUUCACAUGUUUGAUAAACCUUUUUAAGCCAUCAUUUCAAAUGGGAGCAGUGUAUACUUCCCCUAAAUUUACAAGCCACCCAAUUUGGUGUUGAAUCAACAUGGUGAGGAGUUCAAUUAAUGGAGAAACUAGAUGGGUUUGUCCAGGUUUAAAUAAUCGUUUUUAAGAAACAUUGCAGCCAGUCAGGCAAAAGCAUACCUAAAUUUAGAGUGCCAGUAAGCCAAGCAUGUAAAAGAACUUGUGCUCUGGCAGCCGUUUGAUCAUCUUUGGGGUUGAUCUGAACCUGAAGGUCCAACUGAAGGUGUAGCUGGCACACUACUAGCUGAUCCAUUCUCAACAGGUGGUGGCACACCCCAUUUGCCUUCGGAUUCAAGGGGCUCAAAAACACACACUCCACCAUCAGAUAAUCCCAAUGCAAACUGAUUUGGCUCUUGUGGAUGUGCCGCAAUCACAAGGGGGUGUACAUUAGAAUUGCUGCAGACAGAAAUUUUUUAGUGGGAAUCAACAACAGAAAUCACACAUGCUGGAGGUAGAGAGCUUGAUUCUCUCAUAACAAAAUGGACUACAUAAUUGCAGGGACAGGAUAUUAACAAUAAUUGCACAUUCUUAUAUGUAGAAUUGACAUAUUAUUUGAUAUCCCAUAAUCAAAGAUCUCAGACUGAAGCAAUAUAGUUUAAGAAAGCAGCAAGCUCAAUAAAUUCGGAGUCCAUAAUCCAGGAGCCACCAACAAUUAGUGGAUGGUGUCUCACAUUGGCAGAGAAAACUCAAUAGCGACUCGCAGGAUAUAUAUUUUAUUUGAACAUAUUAUACGGUAAAGAGUUUAUCAUUUUGGUGCACAUUCAAGAUUCAAAAAGAAAAAUAGAAACAAAAAUCUCUAUCAUCAGUGCUAAAAGCAAGCUCAUAAGAGUGUUAUAGAGGAAUAUCAUAUGUCACAAGAUAAGCUUCACACAAGAGUUUCUCCACCAGGGAAGAACAUGAAAUAAAGACAAUUGUGAAAAGACAAAAAAAAAAAAAAAAGCACUAGUUUGAAUUUAUUUUAAAAUUUAGUUUUACUUCCUUGUCACAUGUUUAUAUAUGUAUAUGCUAGGGCUGUGUUAAUGUGACUUAUAAUAUACACCAACUUGUAGAUGGAUGCAGACAUGUACCAGCAGUAAAAGUAGCAGCAGCAAUCAACAAAGAGCUUCCCUAUACAAAAUGGAGCACCUAGGCAAGAUUCAUAUAAAUGCUUUACAGUUUUACUUGUAAUUACCAUGUUUUAAAUGGAUGCAUGCUUCAUUGGAAUUCAAUUGUCAUCUUGUCCAUGGGAUGUGGGUGUUUCAUUUUAUCAAGAUAAAGGAGAUUUUUCAAAUAAAUCCCACCUGGCCCACAGAGCAAAGUAAAUACCUGACACUGGCAGGAAGGUAAGCAGUAGGAUUAAUACGACAUCGUAGCCUGAGAUUUGCAGCAUUGAACACACAGACAGUUGCAUCUAAUAAAAUAAAAUACAAUUAGAUUUGAAAUAUUUAAUGAAAUAAUAUAAGGCUAGGUUUAAGUAUGAUAUGUGAAAGAAUAUAUAAAUAUAAAAAUAAUUCAUAUUUAAAAAGAAUAAGAUGAGUAGUUUGAAAUUGUGCCUAUGUAGAAUGAGCGAACUCGCCUAUAUAUAUAUAGAGAGAGAGAGAGAUGAUUUUAGGAAACGUUUCUAACCUAAAAAAUAUUUUUGAAAAAAAAUUAGGUGUUUAACAAAAUUUUUGAAACACUUUUAAAAAUUUUAAAAACCAUUUGUACUAUUGAAAAAAUUACUUACAAUUUUUUUAGUGAAACACUUUAAAUGCGUUUGGGAGUGAUUCUACAAAGCGUUUUUAGUAUUGUUAAUACUUGAAUGAUAAAAAUUUUCAAGUAUUAGAAAUAUUAAAAACGUUUCCUAGAAUUAAUAUCAAAUGGAUUCGGAAUAAAUAAUUCUCCUAAAAAACACUUUUAAGAAAAAAUACUUCAAGUAAAGACACUUUAAAUAAAAACAUCGUCAAACAUACUUUUAAUUUCAUGGAUAAUUAAGAGAGAAGUUGGAUGAGAAUAAUCCAAUAAGAUAAAUAUUUCAAUAAAAUUAAUCAAUUUGAAAGUGUGUUAUUCCAAAUUUAUAAAGAACUAUAAUUUUAAUAGUGGUGGCCAUAAUUCCCAUGAUGCAAAAAAGUUUAUUUUAAAUAUUGUUUUCUGUUUUAAAAACUGCAAACAUGUAAAUGAACAUGAUCCUGUUUUCAUGUAAAAAAAAAUUAAAAAUUAAUAAAAUUUUCUUAAAUAAAAUUCGCAAUACUUAUUUUCACAAGGCCUUAAUAGAUCUUAUUUUUAUUAAUUUCUGAAAACCUGUCCUUAAACUUGUCACAGAUAAACCCAUUUCAUCCUUAACAAAUUAAUGUAAUUGUGUCCAAUCCAAUAUUCAAACAUAUAUACAUAAUGGUUUGUUUCAUGAUCAAAACCUGAUAACAGGCAAUGAGUUUAUUACAACGGAAACUAUGGAGAAGCGGUAGAAGGAAUUUGGAUAUUAUAGUACACAUGGAUCAUAAUUUGUUCAUCAGAAAAUUCAGUGGAAUGAUAAAAGAAAUUAUUUGUCUGAUCUCUUGGGAGCAUGAUAGUAGACUUCUUCCAGCAUGAGAUGCACUCUUUUGGACUGGGGGAGUCAGGCUUGCACUGCAUCAAUUAUCAAAACCAUGCAUUUAGGGAUCACAUCCCAUGGUAGUUAUGGAAGCAAGAACAUUAAUAAUUAAUGGUUUUAAAAAAAUCAUAAAAGUAGACAUAAUAUUGUAUGUUGUGUGUACUAGUGAAGAAGCAAUUCAAUUACCACUCUGGAGGGCAUGCAGCUAGAGCGAUGUCAUCAUCAGUGGUUAACACCAAACCUCUCGGAUGUGAGAUAUUUUGGACCGAUCAUUCCCUCUCACCUUAUGGUAACGAUCUUGCAGAGUAGGAGAGAGGAGGAUAAUCACUUUCUGUAGUGGAGUUAUCUGGAGCAGGCGCUCGGGCAGGCUUUCCAGCUUGAGGCAUUUAUAUAUGGUCAAGGAGUGGAGACAUGGCAUUACUGACCUCCCUUCUUCAUCUUCUUCUUUUACUUCCCACUUCUCCCACUCUUCCAUUUCAUUAAAACGGAGGUGCUUCAGCUUUGGGAAUGCAGUUGUUGAAGAUCCCAAAAACUCACCACCCACGUAUUUCAGUCUCUUCAUAUGCUCUAUUAUCAGGCUUUCAAGAAGAGGUAGUUCCCCCAAUGGAGGCAAAUAUGUAACCUGUGCGCAAUGCAUAAUUUGAAGCUUUUUCAAUUGGGCCAACGAUGAGGCCGCUAUCCAACUGGGGAACUCGGUGGCAGCACUGUAAUAACUUAUUUUUAAAGACUUCAAGUUUUGAUGAGGCUGUAGAGCUUCAGCCACACCUUUUGAGGCAGCUGAGCCAAGCCACCCAAAACCCAUUAGUUCCAAGUGAUGGAGGUGUUUCUUAUUCUUCAAUUCUGCUUCGCCAGCCUCCUCUGCAUCUUUCACAUUAUCUAUCCGACUUAUCACAAGACCUCCCCUGAGGCUGUUUAAGUUUUUCAGUUCUCCUAUUUUGCAUACACCAAUUAUACGAAACUCAGUUAAUGUCCGAAGUGAGGUCAAUCUCCCGAUUCCUUUUGGCAACAUCAAUACUCUACUGCCUUCCCAUUCAAGAUGUCUCAGGUUAAUUAGUUUUCUCAUCCCCUGAGGUAGUUUUAUGAGCAAAUCUGAAAGAAUUAAAGUUUGCAAAUUAUAUAGAUCACAAAUUGUUUCUGGCAAUUCCCCGCGCAUCAAAUUAUUUGAUAGAUUAAGGAACCUCAGAUGCAUCAAUUUCCCCAAGUUCCUCGGCAGUUCCACAAUUAACCGAUGCCCACUCAAGUCUAAUGCCCUAAGGCAAACCAAAUGUUUGAAUAAAUUAGGUGGGGGUUGAGCAGUAGUGUUCAAAUUGACCACACGUCCAACAAACAAUGUGUGCAGAUAUUUCAAAUUAUGGAUAGUGCUAGGAAAUCCAGCCCAUGGUGUGAUAAUUAAGGUUGCAUGACGAGCCUUUUGGAAGGAGGAAGCCAUCCUCACUUCCUUUUCAUCAUCAAACUCCAGAAUGAAGCAUUCAUUCUUGGUCAAAGAUUGGGCAAGAUCAUGCACUAUAUCAUGCAUCUUGCACGAUAUUAUGUUGUCCUCAUUAUCUCUACGAAAAUCUUGGAAAAGUGACCGUGACACCAAGUCUUCAAAGUAGUCUCCACCUGUUUUCUCCAUCUCUAUGCUUCCUCUAGAAUUGAGAUAGCUAUUUGCCAUCCACAACUUGAUCAAUCUAUCUUUACUAAUGAUUUGAUCUUUUGGGAAGACAGCACAAUAUGAGAAGCAGCGUUUAACAGCAGGGGAUAAAUCAUAAUAACUCAACAAUAAAGGAGUGGAAAGAUGUUUCUCAAUCACAUCAAGUUGCCAUAUUUCAUUAUUCAAAAUACUCUCCCAAUUUUCUUUAUUAUCUUUUAAGCGCAUGAGACUCCCUAAAACUUUUGCAGCAAGAGGCAAGCCCCUACACUUGUCUGCUAUUUUCCUGCCAAUGUUUUCUAGUUCUUCAACUUUUUCUCUACUCCUUCCACAAAAGGCUAUGUUACUGAACAAUGACCAACAUUGCCCCUCGGACAAUUCUCGUAAGGGGUGCUUGUACGUGGUUCCCAUCAUGGUAGAAACGUCAUCUUUUCGUGUGGUCACCAAAAUUCUACUUCCCGGUGCCCCGCCCUUGAGAGAACUCUCUACUUUUUCCCACAAUUCAUAGUUUUCAGUCCAAACAUCAUCUAGCACGAGUAGGAACUUCUUAUCGGCAAUAAGUGUGCAAAUUUUUUGUUCUACAUUUUCCAGCUCAUGGAAAUCACAAGACUCUUUCUGGAGGGCUUCAAGAAUAGCCCUAGAAAUCGUCACUGGGUCAAAAGGAUCAGACACACAGACCCACAUCCUUUCAUGGAAAUAGGCCUUCACCCUAUCGUCAUUGUAUGCUAAUUGAGCAAGAGUUGUUUUGCCGAUCCCUCCCAUCCCAACUAUGGAGAUGAUGUAGAGGGAGGAGCUUUCUUGGGAACUCCCACCCAACAGCUUGUCUAUUAUAACGUCCAUAUCUGCAUCCCGACCGCAGAACUGGCUAACAUCAAUUACAGAACUGGUCAUACGUCUAUGUGGUUGCUGGAUGGUACUACUUGACACAAAAUUGAACUGAUUUCUCUCAUUUGCAAUGGCAUCUAGUUGUUUUCUUAUGUCCUUAAUCUUAAUACCAAUAUCACAGCGCAAAAGAACUUGUUUGAAGCAAACGCAAGGGGAGGGAAGGCAGGAACUUAUCUUGAGCUUAGGGAUGCAAGGGUUUUCAGCCCCAAUCUGUAAUUUGAGAAGAGCAGUGUUCCACCCAUCCACCACGUCAUCCAUCUGGUAGGAGAUGUCCUUGAGCCUUUCUAACCAAACUUUUACAAGUUCUUCGCUGAACUGUCUCUUCUCUGCGUCUGCAAGAACAGCUCUGAUGCUCUGGAGUGUGCUGUUUAGGUUGUCCACCUCGCUUCCGACACCCACCACCAGAGUAACUUGUUGUUCCAAGACUGAAGCCAAUCGCUCCAGCACGAUAGAAACAAGAGCAUCCGCCAUAAGGGUUGAUGAAUAAGGUGGGGUUGAUGAAUCAAAGUAAUGGACAGAUACAACUAAGAUCGAUGGAGAGAAAGGAUGUGGAGCUUUAGCGAGCUUAAUUAUGUUCCCUUUAAUAGAAUGGAAGAGAGGUAAGAACAGAUUACUUUAGUAAUUAGUUCAAAGUCUCCAUUCACCUGCAUGCUUGAUAAAUUUAACAAAAUAAUUCAUAUUUCUUAUUAAAUAUGUACAAUUCAUUUUUCACAAGGAGCAACUUAUUAGUGCAACAAUUAAAGCAAAACACAGUCCAUCAAAUUAAUAGGAAAUGCUACCAAUUUAAAAAGAGUAAUCCACCACCCUAAUAAUAAUUCAUACACUAUCACAUGUCACAUGUCAAGAAAUAAAAAAUAAAAAAUAGAUUAAAAUUUGAUAAAUUAUUUUUAUUUUCUAGUUCAAACUCAUUUUACUUAUUUGAAUAAAAAAAAUUAAAAAUUUAUAAUAAAAUCAUAUUUAAAAUUUUAUUCUUUUAAACUCUUUAUUCCCUAUUUAAACAACUAAUAGAUAUUUAUUGAUAUAUAUAUAUAUAUAUAUAUAUAUAUAUAUAUAUAUAUAUAUAUAUAUAUAUAUAUAAAAGACUUCAAAUUACCUUUGGAAAUGUCCAAAAUCCAAAUUAGUUGUUUCACCGAUGAAUUCUAUGCCCCCAAUCUUAAAUGGAACAUAUAUAUAUAUUGUUUCACCGAUGAAUUCUAUGCCCUAGAUCUUGAAUGGAACAUAUAUAUAUAUAUAUAUGAUGAAUUCUAUGUCAUCAUCAUAUUUUAAUGAUAAAUUCGGAUCAUCACAUGUCAUCUGAAUAUAAUAAAAAGUGUCCAACGUCCCACUAGCCUCAAUAAUACAUCAUAUUUUAACGAUAAAUUCAGAUCAUCAUAUAUCAUCUAAAUAUAAUAAAACGUGUCCAACCCAUGCCAAUUUUGUCAUCUGAAUACAAUCCACCACCAAGUGUCAAUGCCGCCUCAUCUUUUGUCAUCCUGUAUUUGCAUACUUUGGAAAAAGAAAAAAUAGCUAAACAAGAUGAUUACAUAUAUAAAUGAUAGAACAAUCAAACCCAAUAGCUAAACAAGAUGAUUACAUAUAUAAAGAAAAAAAGUUUUUCUUCAAUUCCUUUUUUCUAUGGUGAAGUAAAAAAUAAAAAAUAAAUUGAAUCUCUAAAACUUUAGUAAACUACACCCUUAAUGCAUUGUCAUUCCAUGAUUUUGUAUUUUAGUUUUUAUAUAUAUAUUUUAAUAUUAUCUGUUAGAUGAGAUUACUAAAACUUUUUUAUAUUUAAAUAUUGCUUCUCGGUUGGACUAAUCCAAUUUCAGACCACUUCUGCUUUGAAACAUACGCCCCCUUCCCCUCUUGUGCCGGAGAGAGCAUAUUUUAUUUGAAAACUAUAAAGAAUUCAUUUAAUUCACAUCAUUUUACCUCCCUUGAAUACAUUAAAAUAUGUCAACCGACGAGUAUAAAUGCACCUUUAUCAUUUAUAUACAUCUUCCUUUCCUUUUAAUCUCAUCUUCAUGCAUGUGUGGUAAAAUAUUUUUGGCUUUCAAGAUGAGCUGUGAAACUAUAUAUUAAGUUGGAUUAAUUAUUACAAAUUGCCAUUACUUAUAUUAGAUUAUAAAAUUUGGUCACAGUAGAGGGUAGUUGGAUGUUAAACUAUAAAUUAAGUUAUUCCAAAUUGCAAUUAAUAUUAUAGAUUAUUACAUUUGGUUGAUGUUUGCUAAUGAUAAUUAAGUUUGUCUUUUACCAUCUAGGUGUAGAGUAGUUGGUUGUGCUACCUUAAAAUAAGUAUGAUUAAAUUAUAUUAAAAUAUAUAACUAAUUGUUUUAGCUUAUAUAUAAUUUUAAUAUUUAGUUAAACUUGUUUCAUUGAGAAAAAUGUGUGAUUCUAAUAGAAAUAGAUACAAAUCUCCAUUUUUUUACUUACCCUCUAAUGUACUUUAGUUCAUUAGUCAAUUUUCUAUUCUUUUAUCAUUUCUUGUAAAUUUUUUGAAACUUGUCGUGAAAUUUAAUAAAAAAUAUAUAUAAUAUUUAUAACAGGAGAAAGACUUCUAUAACUAAUAUAGCUUUCUUAAGAGGAUUUAUAAUUUUUUUUUUCCAAAAUGUAGUGAAAUAAUUUUCUAAUUUCUACUUUCUUUUCAUAAUUAUGUGAGACAUGAAUGUUAAGGUAGCAAAAUUUUAAAACGGUUGGUUAAAUUCAUUAAUUCAUUAUUGUUCUUCCUAUUUCAAGCUUAAUUUGAAAAGAGUUAAAGAUGCCCAUCACCUAAUUAAAGUAAUUUUAUCUUAUUGAAGACAAUUGUGAUAGAGACAAUCUAAUGUGCCAAGUGAAGAGUUUGAUAAUUUUGUUGUGUCAAUGGAAGGUUCACUAUAAAAAAAAUGAAAAAAAAAAAUAUAAAAACAAAGAAAUCCAUAUGUAAAGAUACAUGAGGUUUUAAAAUUGUUCAAUCAAUCAUGUUUAUCUCCACAUAUAAGAGAUAACAUUUCAUUAUACAAUAGAUUACAAAUGAUAGAAAUAGAUGCAACUAUUGGGUCUCGAAACAUGCCACUUUUUCUCAUCAUUGUAUCUCCACCUUGAAUUACGAGCCCUUUCACUUCACUAGGUAUGUCUCGUUCUUCCUUACAUCUACAUUUUAAUGAGUCUUUUUGCGCUAUGAGCAUCUCUCGCUCUUCCUCACAUCUCUAUUUAACACGUACAACCCUCAUAAUCUCAUUAAACAUUUUUUCUUCAUGACUUGUAAUAUUUGUAAAGAUAUUCCUACUAGUUUUCCUUAUUCUAUUAAGAAAUCUAAUUACAAUUAUAUAUAAACUUAAGAAAUAUUUUAUAUAAUGUUUCUUUUACAAAAAGAAAUAUAUUCAAAAUAGGAAUUUAAAUUAACAUGUUUGGUUAAAUCAUUCAUUUAUUCAUUAUUGUUCUUUCUAUUUCAAGUUUUAGAAAGCUUUAAAGAUGGUCAACACCUAAUUAAAGUAAUUUUAUCUUAUUGAAGAAAUUUGUGAUAGAAACAAUUUGAUGUGUCAAGGGAAAAGUUUGAUAAUUUUGUUGUGUCAAUAGAAGCUUUAGUAUAAAUAAAUAGAAGAAAAUAAAAAUAAAGCAAUCCACGUAUAAAGGUACAUGAGGUUUCAAAGUUAUUCGACCAAUCAUGCCUACCUCCAUAUAUGAGAAAGAACAUUCCACUAUACAAUAGAUUAUAGAGGACAAAAAUAGAUGCAACUAUUGGGUUUCGAAACAUGCCACUUUUCCUUACUCUUUGUAUCUUCACCUUGAACAACAAGCCUUUUUGCUCCACUAAGAGUGUCUCACUCUUCAUCCCAUCUACAUCUUGGUGAGUCCUCUUACUCCAUGGGCAUCUCUUGCUCUUUCUCACAUCUUUAUUUGGCACGUGUAGCUCUCACAAGCUCAUCUCUCUAUCAUAACUUUUUCUUUCAUGACCUAUAAUAUUUAUAGAGAUAUAUUCCUACUAACUUUCCUUAUUAUAUAAGAAAUCUAAUUACAAUCACAUAUAAACUUAAGAAAUAUUUUAUAUAAUAUUCCUUUUACAAAAAGAAAUAUAUUCCAAAUAGGAAUUUAAAUUAAUAUGUUUAGUUAAAUCAUUCAAUUUACCAAAUGCCCUCUUAUUACAUUGAAAUGAUUGUUUAGAACUAUGAAAUAGAAAAAUAUAAAUAAAUAAAUAAAUAAAUAAAAUAAAAUGAGAGGAGAGUGUAAAUUACCCUUCAAUUGUUGUAAUUAGGGAUGCAAUGGAAAAAAAAUAAUAAAGCUAGAUUUAAGUAGCAUGAUAGUAUUUUGCUUUUGGAGCCAACAUUUAUCUUUGACUUUAGGGGUAUCAGAUACCUUGUGCCAAUCUUCUCCAAUGUCCUCGUCAUAGCAUUGUUGUAGAAUCUUAGAAUAUGAGAUGACUAAUUCCUAUAGUGGUUUCUGUUGAAACCACUUUACAAAAGAGACACACAGAGGAGGAUAGAAAAUAAUUUUAUUAAUAUGGUGAUAUUUUUAAACUUCACCUGAUACAAGCCUUUUAUAGGCAAAACCAUCAACAGAAAUAGAAAUACUAAAAAAUAGGAAUAGAAAGAUAACUAGUCACUCUAAACGUGCUGCAACGACCUCCCUAAGACUCGAACAAUUCCUAAUUUAUUGAAAAACUAAACAGAGGCAUAUUUUUGACACAAAAACAAACUUGACUUGUUCAAUACAUCCUCUCAGCCACAUGCUGAUGUUGAUAACUUUAACACUCUCCCUCAACAUCAGCUUCCAAAAUCUUUACCAUACCGAGCUGAUGACAAAAGCUUUCAAACUUGCUACCACUCAAACCUUUUGUGAAUAAGUCUGCAACUUGGUCUUCUGACUUAAUCUGCUUCAGCUCAACCUCUUCUUCUAGGACCUUUUCCCUGAUAAAAUGAUAAUGCACUUCCACAUGUUUUGUUCUUGCAUGAAAGACUAGAUUCUCCGCCAAACGAACUACCGACUGGUUAUCACAGUACAAUGGAACUGCAUAGUCCACUAGUUGAUGUAGAUCAUUCAUCAGCCGUAUAAGUCACGUACUUUCUUGAGCUGCCAUUGUUGCUGCUCGGUACUCUGCCUCCGUUGUUGACAGAGAUACUGUCAGUUGUCUCUUGCUACACCAAGAAAUUGCUCCUGAUCCAAGCAUAAACACAUACCCGGUAGUUGAUCUGCGGGUGUCGUGAUCUCCUGCAUAAUCAGCAUCACAGUAGCCAACUAGCUUGCAAUCUUCAACUUUCUUGUACAACAGACCAUAAUCAAUUGUACCCUUCACAUAUCUCAAAAUUCGUCGAACUGCUUCCAAAUGAGGUUUCUUUGGAUUUUGCAUGUAUUGACUCAUCACACCAACUGCAUAAGAGAUAUCGGGUCUAGUUAAAGUUAAGUAAAGCAAACUACCCACCAAUUGUCGAUACAUUGUUGCAUCUUUCAAGUCUUUGCCUUCGUGUUCACACAUCUUGGCAUUUGGUUCCAUUGGUGUUGAGAUCGGCUUACAUUCGAGCAUCUCGAACUUUUUCAACAAAUCUUUGGCAUAUUUUUUUUUACAGAGAAAUAUCCCUUUGUGUGUACGAUCCACCUCUAGCCCAAGAAAGUGCUUAAGUUGUCCAAGUUCUUUCAUCUCGAAACGAACUGACAAGUUCUCCUUUGUUCGGCAAAUUUCUUCAAUAGCAUCUCCAGUGAUGAUUAGAUCAUCUACGUAUACAAGUACGAUAACUAACUUUCCUCCAUUAGCUUUGACAAACAAGCUAGAAUCUGCAGGUGUUUGAAUACCCACUUUGAGUUAGAAAUUCAGCAAUCUUACCAUACCAUGCUCUGGGUGCUUGUUUCAAUCCGUAGAGUGUCUUCCGCAGCUUACAUACAUAUUCAGGAUGACCUUGACUCUGAAAGCCCAUCGGCUGAUUCAUAUAGAUCUCCCGAUCCAACUCUUCAUGCAAGAAUGCAUUCUUCACAUCCAUCUGCCACAAGUCCCAAUCUUUGUUAGCUGCAAGUGCAAGUAAGACUUGUACAGUUGUAAUUUUUGCAACUGGACUAAACGUUUCAUCAUAGUCUAGUCUAUAUUGUUGAGAGAAUCCUCGAGCUACCAAACGAGCCUUGUUUUUUCUAUUGAUCCAUCUAUGCGACGUUUUAUCUUAUAAACCCAUUUGUAGGAAAUAGGCUCUACAUCUCUUGGCUUUGGCACGAGCUCCCAAGUCUGAUUUCAUUUUAAUGCUGCAAUUUCCUCUUUCAUAGCUUUACUCCAGUCUGGAUUCUGAAAUGCUUUUGCAAAUGUCUCUGGUUCUUUUGCGUUUGCAUUUUCUACUAUGGCAACAUUGGCAUAUUUGGGAUUUGGCUUCUUGGUUCUUGCUGAUCUUCUAAGUGGAAUUGGUGCUUCUGUUUCACUAGGCUCACCUUCUUUGCUUGGUUGUCCAUGCACACCAGUUUGCCAAGGACUUUGAGUUUCGUCAUCUCCGAUAUCACCAUCGGCUGCAUUUUCAGCUUCACCCAAGCUUAGUUGGAUUCUAGCAGAUUGCAACUCAUCCUUAAAAACAUCUGAAUCUGGUAAUAUUUCCUUUUCUGAGGACCACCAUGAAGAUGAUUCAUCAAACACCACAUUCCGGGAUGUGUAACACUUUCCAGUUGUAGGAUCGCAGCAUCUCCAUCAUUUUCGUUGACUAUCGUAUCCUACUAAGACACACCUAACAGUCUUCUUGUCCAUCUUGCUGCGUAAAUGAUUAGGUACAUGAUUACUACUCAAAAAGUGCUAUUUCAUAGCUUGUAAUGAACUCUUUUAAACACUUUUGAGUAGUAGUUAUCACCUUUUAACCCAAUUAACAUAUUAAGGACCCUUGCAAUCAAUUAUAAUCAAAUUGUGUAAGUUUUGGUGUUUUUCGUUAGUAAUUUGAUCACCAAAGCAAUCCAAGAUUGAGGAGAGUUCUUUGGAAUCCAUGGCAAAGCAAUGAAAGUUGUCCGGAUAGGAUAUGCUAUCAUCCGGACAGGGCGUCCGGGCACACCAUCGAAGGGCGGCGGAACGUGGGUCUUUUUCAUCAGGAAAACAUAUCCGGAUAGGGGAGCGCGCCGCCAUUACAUCCGGCUGCCGCCACUUUCCACCCGGAUGUAUCACAUCCAGAAUUCUGCUGUCGCCGCCAUUCCAUCCGGAUAUUUUGCAUCCGGCUCCUGGAAAUGAGAGGCGUUUCAACUUCCCCGGUUGGACAUAUCCGGAUCCUCUGACAACGUAGCCGGAGAGUUUCGCAGCCAUUUUGCACAGUGUCGCGGUGUUCUCCUGAAGCUUCCAGAUAUGUGCGACCGACAAUUGGGAUAUUUUGAGAUAUUUUGUUUUAGAUAUUUGUUGUCUAAAUCCCCAAACUCUCCUUGUAACCCACCAAUUAUAGGAUUCCUUAGUUAUUAAGUUUGGAAAAAGGAUGAAUAACCUUGUUUAUAUUAUUAUUGUAAUUUUCAUAUAAAUAUCUCUUGGGAGCCUGUUCUCAGGAGAAGACGAAUCUUUUGUAUAGUUUUCAAAGGAAGAAAAAUACAGAGCUUUGCUCUACUUUACCUUCUCAUUUUGAUUGUAUUUUCUUACUAGCCAAACAAGCUCUGAGGAUGUUUCCUCAGAGAAUGAGUGGCUAGACUUUUAGUUCCUUGGAGUUAAGGUUGCAGGGAAAGGUUUCAAGUGCAAGAAUUAGUAGCUUUGUGGUUUCAGCCAUUAAUGAAGAGAAAGUGUGAUCCUUUAAUGAUUUCUAUGUUUUUAGUUAACUUAAAACGCCUUCAAUUCACUUGAGCCAACACUUGGUAAGGCAAGUGAUCUCCGUCCAUGGAGAUGCACUAGUUUACCUCUUGCGAGCUUUUGGGAAGUGACUUGAAGGUAGGAUUUUCUAGAAUUGCCAACACUUGGUAAGCUUUUGGACUCUAAGGAGACAUCCAUUAGUUAUCUCUUGUGAGCUUUUGACGGGUAAUCCAAGGUUAAAUAUCACCUUGAAUGGCAAGUGCUAGGUGAGAGGUACGAGCCAUUGCAAGUUGCAUCAGUGAGAGGGAAUUAGAGCUUAAAUCCAUUUAAAGGAUACAUCUGUACAACACCGAUUAGAGAAUUGACUAUAUGUUAAUUCUCUAAUGCGAGGAAAUGAACCAAAUGACCGGAGCUCUGUUUUUGCAUGAGCAACCUCCCCUGUGAACCUAAACCUCCAAGGAAUGUUUUCUUCAUAAGUAAAUUCCAUUACUUCCUUUGUCGUUAGUUUAAACCUAAACCUUUUUCAAUCAAAGUUUGUGUUUUAUUUCUUAAGCUAACCUUGAAAUAGAAAGGCACCAAUUCAUCUUUGAAUUGGUAUCAUUUAUGAAUUGAAAACCCUUCCCAGUGAACGAUCCUAGAGCCAUUAUACUAUAGUAGCUUUGUCUUUGCUACCCUAGUACAUGGUGUAAUAGGUUAUAAAUUUUGUUGAUUACUCCCUCAAUCAAGGAGCACCAGCUGGACAUGAAUCAGCUUAGACACCAAUUGGGCACGAAUCAGUACAAAGACAUAGCAAACACAUCUGAAAACUUGAAAAUAACUAACUGUAGGCUUUAUGUUCCACAAUUUUUCAAAGGGUGAUGAAAAAUUUAACCUUUGUUGAGGAAGCCUAUUGAUCACGAAAGCUACAGUCUUCAUUGCUUCUGCCCAAAACCGUCCUGGAACAUUCUUUGCAUGAAGCAUACUUCUAUAGAUUUCUGCUAGGUGCCUGUUCUUUCUUUCUGCUACGCCGUUUUGCUACGGAGUGUUGGCACAUGUGAACUGAUGGCGUACUCGGCAUUCUCGGAGAAAGUAAAAAAACUCAUUUGAGGUAUACUCUCCCCCAUUGUCAAUACGCAGACAACGGAUUCUUUUAUCAACCUCUGCUUCCGUCAUUUCCUUGAAUUCUUUAAACUUUGAGAAAGUUUCAGAUUUUUCUUUCAUAAAGUACACCCACACGUACCUGGAAAUAUCAUCAAUAAAGGUCACCAUGUAUUUCAUCCCACUAAGAGAGGCUUGCUUAACAGGUCCAAACACAUCAGAGUGAAUUAGCUCUAAUGGCCCCUUUGCUUUCCAUUUUGACUCUUCAUACGGUAACUGAUGCGCUUUGCCGUACUGACAUCCUGCGCAAAUUGUAUAUUUUCUCACUUCAAGUUGUGGAAGUCCCUUCAACAUUGACUUUUUCAUCAUCACAAUUAGUUUGGAAUAACUAACAUGACUGUAGACCCUCAAUUUUGUCCAUUUAGCACACGUCUUUAAACUCGUUUUCAGUGCUCCACAGUAGCUCCUUGAUGGCCCAUUACUACUCGUACAAUUUACCUUUUUCUAAGUCACCUCGGAGAUUUUGGUUGAGGGAUUAUCUGACCCCUUAUUGUGACCUUUGGCAGCCCUAAUUUAGACUUAGUCGUUCAUUUUUAGGAUAGUUCUUAGGCAUGUUUAGGCCAUUUAGACAAUGUCCCAAUCACUUUAGGACACUUAGUUCAUUAGGCACCCAUGUAGGGCCGUUUAAACACUUCAUCGGAUUUAACUUUUAUAUAUAUAUAUAUAGAUAACUUUUAUUAUUGUUAUUAUUAUUAUUAUUAUUAUUAUUAUUAUUAUUAUUAUUAUUAUUAUUGCAUGCAUUCGAUAAUUAUAUAUAUUUUGGUUAUUCAUUUUCAUUUUUACUCUUUAUUUGUUUAUUAUUAUCAUUGUCAUUAUUAUUAUUAUUACUAUUUUUAUUUUUUAUUUUUUAUUUAUUUUUAUUCUUAUUUUAUUUAUUUACUUACUUAAUAGAAAAUUGCUUAAAUUGUUUAGACCUCAAAUGUGCAUAGGACCUCUUAUCGAAUAAUGGAAUUAUAUAACCUAGCUAGUCUCUCCUAGUUCUCUUUCUUUCAUUUGAAAUCAUAUUUCAUUAUAUUACUAAUGUCAUUAGUUUCAUAUAUUUUCUUUUACUUUUUAAUAUUAUUCUAUUCUAUUUUGCAUGAGGAGAGGAAUUGCAUAUUCCGGAAUAGGUGGCUCGUGUGAAAGCAAAAGAUGAAGCCAAUGAAGCUACCAUGGGAGGGGAAGGUACUAGAGAAUUCAAAUUCUAAAUGACUUGUACGUGGAGAAGCAAGGAAUAGCAUGCGUGUCGCACCACAAAGUGACAGCUGGAUAUUCCUCAUAGGGAUAUGGGGAUUUCAGGAUGCCUUUACGGAAGGUACAUGAAAGAGGACAAGACGAGAUCACCUUUUGAGAUGAGGGACUCUCAAGAGUUCUAUUGGGGGCUGCGUCUCAUUGCACUCUCCUGAAAAGUAGGGAAAGCUUGAAACCGAUUUCAGAUGCACAAAGCUUAACCAAACCCGUAGAGGGAACAAGUAGUGCUCCGAUCCAACCAUACGAUUCUACCCCUCAUCUCCCGUCUAUGGUGGAUCUGUUUCUUCAAGGAUGUUCAGAGGUCCUGAAAAAUGGCGGUCCCUGUGUUGGGAACCCUCCAACGUUCCGGACUGGAUUAGGAAAGUCAGUUACAGUAAAACAAUUUUCAAUAGCAAAAACGUUAUCUACUCUUGGUGGUAUUGAUUUCGGUGCUGGAAGCCAAGAUCAUGAUAGAGAUGGUGGAUGUGGUUUUUUUGAAUCCUCUUUUCUAGGCUGGUUCAGAAGAAAUGGUCGGUAUUUCUACUACUAGUCCGGUCAGAGCCAAGACAUUGUUGGGGUUAGAAGAAAAUACGGUCAUCAUUCUUGUCAAGAACACAUCACAAGGCAGAGUGUAAUGGAUGGCUUAGAUGGUGAACGAGAUUCUUCGUUUGGAGAUAUAAGAAGAUUUGAGCAGUAUAAAAGAGAGGACUCCAAACCAGUUCCAAGUUCUCUUGAUACUAGUACUUCUCGGAGAACAGAAUCAACAAAUGAGGUUGUUCCCAACCUCAAGCAGACAGAAAUAUAUAAUCUUGCACCAAAUUCGCCACCAGUCAGGUUUCAUAUUGCAGAUGCAGAUCAUUGAGGGGUCAAGGGAGGAUUUUCAGGUGAACGGCGUGUUUUCCGUCAAUAAAAUUGGAGUUUCUCCUCCGGAAAGGAUGUCAACAGCCAGCGUCAUCAACAGUUUGUUUUCUGGCGAAGAUUUGAGCACGAUCAUGGUGCUGCCAGUGAGGAAAGACGCCAUGGUCACAUCACCCAAGCAAGGUUGAACUCCGGCAGCCAUCACCGAGAAUGAAUGGAGAUUUAUGCUGGAAAAUACCACGACCCACCGCCACGCGUUCGCCAUGGGAAAAGAAGAGAAAUCUUGAUUUGUCGAUCUUACAAAGCUGCCGGAAUAUUCUUUGUCUUUUCUUUUCGGUGAAGUUUGCAUUACGAUGUGAAUGUUCCAGCGCGUGAUGGUGUAGGAUAAGGUUCCAGCCUGAUCAAUCCGAUUAAAUUAACGGCAGAUGAUGCAGUCAUUAAGAUCUGGACACUUGCCAAACGGGGUACAGGGCAACAUCUUUAAAAGAGUCUCCAAGGUGAACAAAACGUAAGCACUUUCCAUAUGUCCAAAGGCAUUAAAAAAAGAAACAAAAUAUUCCAUACAAAGAUAGGUGCUGCCAUAUAAAUAAGGGUCAGAGAGAACACGCAAGGGACUUUUCUUUUUUUGGUGGAGAGAUCAAGACAUAAAGCAGAUUUCUUCCAGAGAGGACGGAGACAGAUUUUUUUUAGAGAGAUCCAUAGCAGAGGAGAUAUUAUUUUGCUGAAACAAAAGAAGGAUUUUUGGCAGGAGAAGGAGAAAGGAGAGAAGAGAUAUUAUUUUUCUGGGAACAAAGAGAGGUCUGAAGGAAGAGGAAGGAGGCAGCCACCACACAUUCACCAUUGAGCACUAGCAGCCGCACCACCAUAGAGGAAUUCUAGAGAAGGUAAGUUAGAAUUUCUAAGGAUUUUAGUUUUAAUUUUUUAUUGGAUUGAAAGUUAGAGUUUUUAUGUAUUAAUUUUGAUUUUUUUUUUAAUCGGAUGAAAAAGUUAGAAUGUAGUUAGUUUGAUUUUGAUUCAUUGUCUUGGUUUCAAAAGUUAGGUUUUAUUUAGUUUAAUUUUAAUUCAUUAUGUUUGUCUCGAAAAUUUAGAAUUUUUGUUUGAUUCAAUUUUUUAUUCAUUGAACUAGAUUGAAAGGUUAAAAUUUUAUUUAAUUUAUUUUUUAUUCCUUGCGUUAUUUUUGAAAUGUUUGAAUUUUGUUUAAUCUAGUUUUGAUUUUUUUAUAUUAGAUUGAAAAGUAAAUUUUUGUUUGCUUAGUUUUGAUUCAUUACUUUGGUUUAAAAGGUGAGAAUUUUUUGUUUUAUUUUAAUUUUGAUUCAUUAUAUUACAUUGAAAAAUUAGAAUCUUUGUGUAGUUUGGAUUUGAUUCCUUGCUUAGUUCGAAAAGUUAGAAUUUUGCUUAGAUCGGUUUUAAUAGAUUUAAUUUUAAAAGUCAGUUUUUUUUAUGAGUCAGCUUUUUAUUUAGUUCAAGUGUUUUAUAAUUUUUAGUCUAUCAUUCUAAUUGAUCCUAUGUAAUAAAGUUUAUGUUUUUAAGUUUAUUUUGAUCAUGUUUUGGUUCAUCUUAUUUAGUUUAGAUAUUUUAGAAUUUUAGCUCAUUAGUCUAUUUGAUCCCAUCUAAUUAAAUUUAUGUUUUUUUAAAAAAAAAAUUGUAAAUCAUUUUUCUGAUUCAUCCUUUUUAGGAUUUAAGUUGAUUAGUUUAAGAAAUAUUUGGUUAAUUCUUGGUUGAUCCACUUUUAGUUUGUAUGUUUUCCAAAGUUUUAGAUAACUAAUUUAAUUAACCCUAAGUCGUAUUAUUCAUGUUUUGAGUAUACUAAUCUUCAUUCUUGGUUUAUCAAUAUUUAGUUCAUGCUUUUUUUUUUCUAAUAGGUUAAUUAGUUUAACUAAUCUUAUGUUAUUUUGCUCACGUUCUAAAAUUGAUGAUUCUAGUUUUUGAUUAGUUAAUAUGUUUUAGAAUUCUAUGUGCUUGUGUUACUAUAUUCACAUUAUUAUAAUUACAUGUUUAGGUGUUUGGUUGAUUUUAAAUUAGUUCUAGAUUGUUUAUCUCAAUUUAUGUGUUUGAUUGAUCCUUAUAAAUUCCCGAUUAAUAUUUCAUUAGUUUUAUUUGAUCUAAAGUCGUUUGGUUUGUUGCUUUGGUGAAUAUUUAUUAAAUUUGAUUUUUAGAGGCCAUUGGAAAAUCAUGAAGAUUGGCCUCUACCAUCACCAUUAUCAUUUUUGUUAAUUACUAAAAAAAAUUUUACUUUGAGGUUUCAUUUUUGUUUUGUUUGGUGUUUUAUUUCUUAUAUUUUAUUUUUUCCCAAAUUAAUCCCUUUUAUUUUAAAAUAAAAUACUUUUAUCAAAAAAUCAUUUUAAAAAAUCUAUUUCAAAAACUCAUUUAGAGUCCUCAGGAUCAAAAUCUUUUUUUUUUAUUUUAAAAAAAUAAUAUGCAACCAUAUUUUGUUCGGUUUGCAUCUUCUCGGUUUUCAACAAAAAUUUUGGUUUUGAACAAAGACACGAAUCAAAGCUUGUGGUCCCACAUAAAUGGGAUAAUUCUGAGCUAAAUUCGUGUAUAUCAAUUGGGGAAUUGGUGAAACCCCUACAUAAGAAAAUCUUUUCAAAAAUUAUUUUUGUUGCCAUUUUUGUCACUUUUUGAAAUUAUAUCUAUCUUUUUUUUAGAAAUUGUAUACAAGAUGAGUGUGAUAAUUAUUAUUUUCAUAUAUUUUGACAAUUUCUGCUAUGAUAAUUAGAUAACGAGCAUGCUAGGACUUCUUAUUUUAUUGUUUGUUAUCUAACCUCUCAUGUUUUGUGGAAGCGCAUUAGGAGUUAAAUAUGCUAUCCAGGUACGUUCCCUAAUACCCACUUUCUAAACCCUAUGAAUAUGUAUGCCCAUGCUUGCUAUCCUCUUUAAUUGCCUUGAUACACAUUUGAUGAUUGUUUGAUUAUCUUUGAUAAAACAAAUGUUGUGUGAUGUAUCUCCAAACUAAUCUCUUAUGUUUUAUGAUAGCGCUUGGGAAGCCGUCCAGGUACGCAUUUUUAACUCUCCUUAAUUGUGAUUUGAUUUUGUUUGAUAUGUUAUGUUCUUUUUGGAAUCACCUAGCCUACUUAAGUAUCUGAAAUCAACCAUUUAAUUGCCACGCUUCCCUUAACUUAGUCAAUAAAGACCUCUUUAGGGCUUAGAGGGGUGCUACCUCCUAGAGGUACCUUCCCAAUAAGUAACCUGAUCCCCGGACUUGGACUCGGGUUUUUCAAAGACACGCUUUUCCAAAAAUUAUGGAGUCAUUUUUUAGGGUUUUAUUUCUUGUUUUAUUUUCCCUUUUAAAAAAAAAUAAAAUAAGUGGCGACUCCAACUUUUUUUCCAAAAAUCAAAUUUUCACAAAAAUAAUAAAAAGCGAGUCUCGCCGAUCGAGUGGGGACGCACGUGAAAAAUGCGGGUCCACAAUGACUUAAUCGCAUAUGCCAUAAAUCGGUUGUCUCGUUCUUUUUGGUCUUGUCUACAUAUGCGGUUUCUGCAGACAUCACAUAGACUGACUCUAGUCUCCGUCCCUUUAUCACCGACUCUUCCAUAAUCUCAAGGUCACGAUAAACUUUCACAUCUUGAGGACCAAAUAGAACAAAUGGCCUGAAGACGUUAAUUGUGCUACCGAGAGAAGAUUUUUCUUCAUACCUGGGACGUGAUAGACAUUUUGAAGCGACACAUCAUUAGUAUUAUAUUGGGAAGAGACUAUCGUAUUACCAAUGUGAGCUAUUGGUAGUUUUGAGUUGUUCACUGUGACUACCAUAUGUCUUCCCUUGUACUCCGACAAAUCCUGCAGCUUUUCUUUAUCACCCGUCAUAUGAUUUGAGCAGCCUGAGUCAAUGAUCCAAUCCUUCUCAUAAUCAAUUUUUUCAGACGUUGUUGCUAUAAAAGCUGAUUCUCCUAUUGCAGCAAAAAAUACCUGAGCGUCCCACUCAUCUUCGCUUUUGGAAGUAGCAGCAUUACUUUCCACAAGCCCUUUUUUCGACCAACAAUCUUUUGCCAUGUGACACUUCUUUCUGCAAUUGUAGCACUUCCCUUCAAAUUUUUUCCUGGUGCCAAGAUUCUUCAAAUCUUCCUCAACACGAGCGUUCCUUUCACCUUGACUACUUUUUGCCUUGUCCUCAUUCUUUUUAGUUCUUCUGACGGUGUGCUGCUUGGAAUUCCACCUGCCUUUGUGGGCAUAAAGCGCUUCCUCUUCACCCUUGAGUGAAACUCCUCCCAUUUGUUUAGCCAAGGCUUCUUGACCAGCAAGCAAAUUCUCAAACUCAACAAGUGAUGGUUGAUUUUUCCAUCCCUGUACAGCAGCAACAAAACCUCUGAAUUCUGGUCUCAAACCAUGGAUGAUUAUUCUAUUCAUCUUGGUUUCACUGAUUGGGGCUUCUAGAUCCAACUCGGAAAUUUCCCGGCAUAACGUCUUCACCUUGUGAAAGUACUAAGCGAUCGUCAAGUCACGUUGUGCUACCGACAACAACUCGCUCUCUAGAAGUUGGAGCCUUGUGUCAUUCUUCUUUGAGAACAGCUUGGUGAACGUAUUCCAAGCUUCGUAAGGGGUUUCGGCAUCUCGAAUGUGCUCUAGCACAUCUUCUUCGAUCGUUGUCUUCAAAGCAAACAUCGCUUUGCCCGCUUUUAUCUUCCAUUUCCACAGUAUACCAUUCGCAUCCUCAGUCUUCGGUUGAGUAAUUUCGCUUCCGUUCACAACCUCCCAUAAGUCUUGGCCUUGCAUGUACGACAUCAUGCAUGUUGACCAAGUAUUGUAAUUUUGGUUGUUGACCUUUUUUAUUCCGCCAAUGACUUGAAGAUCACCCAUUUCAAUCUCUCUUUUCCUCACGUGUUUGACUCUCAAACACUCUCUGAAAUCCCUCUUCAACCUAGCUCUGAUACCAAAUGUUGAAACCACUUUAUAAAAGAGACACACAGAGGAGGAAAGAAAAUAAUUUUAUUAAUAUGGUGAUAUUUUUAAACUUCACCUGAUACAAGCCUUUUAUAGGCAAAACCAUCAACAGAAAUAGAAAUACUAAAAAAAUAGGAAUAGAAAGAUAACCAAUCACUCUAAACGUGCUGCAACGACCUCCCUAAGACUCGGACAAUUCCUAAUUUAUUGAAAAACUAAACAGAGGCAUAUUUUUGACACAAAAACAAACUUGACUUGUUCAAUACAUCCUCUCAGUCACAUGUUAAUGUUGAUAACUUUAACAGUUUCUUAAUUAGGAGCAUAUAGUCCGUCGAUCCCUUCAACUUUUGUUAAUAAUAGAUUUCCAAGUAACUGAGACAUGGCAUUACAAACUUCUCUUCUUAGUCUUCUUCUUUUGUUGAAAAGUUAAACUUGAUUUAAAACUUUAUAAAUAUUAUAAUUAUAUUUAGUCUCUAAAGUUUAAGAAAGAAUAUUUUAUUUUGAAUGAUUAUUUUAGUUUCUAUUUUUGAGUUACAAAUCUUAGAAGGUUUCUAUAUUUUAUUAUUAGGAGUUUCUAUUUUAUUGAGUGUGAAUAUGUAUAAAUAAGGUUAUAUAAUAUUUAAACAAAAGAGAGAGUGGUGGAAUACAACAAAUUUUAUCUUCUUUAUAAUUGUUUAUGUUUCUCUAUCAACCCUAUUAUUUAAAAAAAAUGGUAUUAAAGCCAUACGAAAAAAUGAAAAGUGGGAUAUAUGUGUUUCAAAUCCCUUAACUCAACAAAAACAAUUACAACAAUUGGAAUAUCAAGAUAAACGCUUUGCUUGGUUUACAAGAUGCAUGGGGGUUUGUAGAGAAAGACUACAAAGAGCCACAAGAUGAAACCACUCUAUCCUUAAAUCAAAGGGAUUUUUCAAAAUAAAUGAUGAAGAGAGACAAGAAAGCUUUCAUCAUUAUCUAUCAAGCAAUGGAUAAAGGCUCUUUUGAGAAGAUUUCAAGUGCAAUCACCUCCAAGGAAGUCUAAGAGAUAUUACAAGAUGCAUACAAGGAAGUUGAUAAGGUAUGAAAAGUUUGUCUUCAAACUCUUAGAAGAGAAUUCGAAGGUUUAAAUAUAAAAUAAUUAGAAGCAAUCUCCAAUUAUUUUUCUAAAGUAUUGACUACUAUGAAUUUAUUAAAAAGAAAUGGUGAGAGUUUAAAUAAUACUCGUGCAAUUACAAAAAGAUACUUCAACUAGAUUUGAAGUUUGAUUAUAUUGUUGUGGUUGUUGAAGAAUCUAAAGAUUUAGAUUCUAUGACCAUUGAUCAACUUAUUAGAUCGUUGCAAGCCUAUGAAGAGAUAUUAAAAAGGAAUAAUCAAGAAAAAUUAGAACAAGUUCUUCAGAAAAACUUUCAUUAAAAGACAUUGAAGAAAAUUUUAAUGAAAGGAGUCAAAAUAAUUGUGGGCAUGAUCAUGGAUGUGACUAAGGCAAUAGAGGAAGAGGUAGUUUCAAUUCAUCAAAAAGGAAAAAAAACCCAAACUCAUAUUCCUCAAGAGAUCAUGGAAGAUGACACAACUCGAGGCAAAGUAAAAGAGGAAUGUGAGUAUUUAGCUAGAUUGGCAAUUCUGGACAAAAUUCCUAAGUGUCUCAUAAUUCAGUUUUUUUCCACAUCCUUCUUUGCAUUACUUGCCUAAUGAAGAUCAAGUUGUUAUAUUUUCUAAGAGACCAAGGUAUGUGGUUGAGGUUGGAGUUUGAGGAAAUUGAAUCAACCAUGUUUUUUUUUCUUGAAAUAUUUAUUAUUUUUUUAGGAGUUAGGGAGGCUUAUGAAGCAUUUUUUCUUUUUCUUUUUACUAAGUGUUUAAUUAUCUUGUUCUAGGAUCAAUCCAGCUUUAGGUUAAAUCAAUCUUGGUUGCACUUUCUCGAUAUUAUUUCAUCUAUUAGAUUAAGGGUUUCUUUCAACUUUAAAAACUAAAAAAAAAAAAAAUAGCUUCUAAAAAUAGAGAGAAAAAUGUAAGGUUGCCCCUUAUACUCUCUUGUCUUACUAAAUUGAUGGUGUUUUAUUGUCGAGAAAAUCUCAUUUUGUUCCUGAUUUUCAGGUAGUUUUCCAACAAGUUUUCUUGGGAAAAAAAAUGGUUUGAUUCUUUCUUUCAUUCAUCUCUCAAUUUUUAAUCUAUUUGGGUUUGAGUGAAAACCCAUUUUCUUCUUGAUUGAGCUUCAAGAAGAGGCCGAGAUCAAGCUCUGUGGAUGCUAAGUAUGUCUUGAAAGAUGAAGGUAUGCAACUUAAGUGAGAUGCUGAUCAAGUAGUCUGUGAAGGAUUAAAGGAUUUGACCUAGCUAAAUCCUUGUACACAUUGCUUGUUCUUUAUAAUGGAAUUUUUUAUCGAUGGCAUAGUUUUUUAUCUCUUCAUAGAUUUUCCACAUAAAUUCUAGUGUCACCGUCUCUCUUUUUCUCAUUUUACUCCUUGAUUUAUUUUCAGUUUUAGUUUUCAUUUAUACUUGGGUAUAUAAGUUGAAUGGAAGAACAAUGGGUUGAAAUAAGUGUAAUUUUCUAUAGAUAUCCUAUAUAUAUUAUGAACCGUGUUAUUGAGAGUUGGUAGAUAUUGAUUAUAUUGAUUAUUUUCUAUAUAUAUUGAUUAUUUUGAUAUAGAUAUUUGGUAGAAAUUGACAUUUGUGUUAUUGAGAAAUUAUUGUUAUGAACUGUGUUGGGGAGUAUUGAAGCAUGCACAUGUGACUUGCAUUUGAAAAUUGUUGGAAGAGUGUUGUUUGUCACAAGAUGCUUCAAAUGACCCUUCCCAUAGGCUUAUGUAGAGCCCAGGAAGAAAGACAUUUGCGCCAUAGAGAUGGUGGAGGACUUUAAAAAGGAUAUCAAGAGGCAGUUCUACCUUGAUGAUGUGGCUUACCUAGCUAGGAAAAAUAUGAGGCGUCUCAAGCACAUAGGCUCGAUAUGCGACUAUGUUAAGGAAUUUUCUUCGCUCAUGCUUGAGAUUCCUAACAUGACUGAGGAGGAGGAGUUGAUAUUCAGCUUCAUGGAUAACCUACAAUGGUGGGUUGAGUAGGAAUUAAGGCACUAAGGCGUUCAAGACUUAGCCACUGCUAUGGCAGUAGCAGAGUCUUUAACAGAUUAAAAGAGGGAAUACUCCUCCAAGGUUAAGUCUUUAGAGGAUAACCACGCCACGGGUGGAGGAGAUGAGGUUUCAAGGGACCAUAAUGCUCCUAGAAUGGGAUUAGGCAAGAUGCCUAUCAUCCAGGAAGGAAAGGGUAAGGCGAAAAGGAAGGAGUUUACGCCUAAAAUAAAAUGCUUCCUGUGUGACGGUCCAUAUUGGGCACGGGAUUGUCCAAAGAGGAAGGCACUCAGUGCCAUGAUUGAGGAGAGGGAACAGAAAGAUGAAGCACAUAUGAGCUCGAUGUAACUACUAGGUGCCCUCCAAGUCAACCCAAAGCCUAGUACGCCUAAGACAUCCUUACUAUCAGGGGUGCAAGUAAAUGAGGUAAAAGGGGAACAAGCUGAGGUAACCCACUCACACAUGGACAAGGUCACCAAAGGAAAGGUGAACUCGAUGGGCAAGAUAUAGCAGCACUCCAAACAUCGAAAGUGCAGGGGGUCUGCAUCCAUCCGAGGCCUCAAGGGAAAAGGAGGUGGAAAAUAUCCUGGUUGAACUGGUUACCAGUAGACAAGGGGUCCCUCCUGUGAUAGAGUAUCUAGUCCGAUGGAAAUGACUACCUAAAAGACAGGUAAGCUAGGAACAUGUGGAUGCCUUGAGAAGGUUUUGGAGACACAUCGAGAGGUUUUAAGAAAAGGCAACGACGGGGACGUUGACAGCAUAGGUGGAGGAGAGUGUCACAAGAUGCUUCAAAUAACCCUCCCCAUAGGCUUAUGUAGAGACCAAGAAGCUUCUGGAGACUUCUACACUUAGACAUUGGAGAGAAGAGUGUGGAAGGUUCUAGAGAUGCCUAGAGAAGUCCACACAUCUCUACACUAUGGUGGAAGGCAUGAGAGGAGUCCAAGGCUUUCUAGAGAAUUCUAGAGAUCUCUUGUAUAUUCUUGUACAUAGGCUUGUACAUAGAAUGGUAUAGGGUGUUCUAGAAUAUUCUUGAUUUGUAAGGAACCCUCCAAGGUUCCAAAGAGUUCCAUUGGUGUCCUCAUUUGGCCAAGGCACCACCCAAAAACCACCAAAAUCACUUCCUAGCCAAGCAAGUGAGUUCCCAAAGCACUUGUAAAGCUUCCUUUGAGAAAUAAAAGCUUCCAUUCUUUAAGAGUUUCCUAGUACAAGUCGUGAGCAUCUUAGCCUAACAAGUUAAGCAUUGGGAGUAAGGCUGACUUAGCAAGAUCAAGUGUCUUGACUUGUCUAAGUGCUGCACGAGCUUAGGAAAAAACUAAGUCCAUGACAUGUUGCAUUCAUACUUGCAUGUGACUUUUAAUAUUUGUUGAAAUGUACUUAAAGAGAAGAAAAAUUGUGAGAAAUUUUAUGAUUAGAUAAUGUGUUAGGGAUCCUUUUGAAUUGAUUUAAAAAACACCUAUUCACCCCACCCCCUACCCCCUCUAGGUGUAGUUUAUCAUUGAGAUUCACUUUUAGGGAAGGUAUGAUAAAUCCUAAAUUUAAUGUUAAAAUUGCAACAAAUAUGGUCAUUAUACUUAUGAAUGUAGAACUUCCAUUAACAAUUUGGAAGGAUAAACCAACUAUGUUGAAAAGAAAGAUCAAGAAGAACAUAGAAUAUUGUUAGCAUAUAAAAAAGAAAGUAAAGAGAAAAACAUAUGGUAUCUUGACACUAGAGCAAGCAAUCACAUGUAUGGCUUCAAAAACAUGUUUGUUCAUAUAGUGGUCAUGUUACUUUUGGAGAUGCAUCCAAAAUUCUAGUCAAAGGGAAAGGUAAAAUCCUAAUUCUUUUAAAAAAUGGAAAUAAUCAAUUUAUCUCAAAUGUUUUACUAUGUGCCCAACAUGAAAUAAUAUAUUAAGUUUGAGUCAACUCUUAGAAAAAAUCUAUGAUAUUCAUAUGAAAAAUUAAGGUCUCUGAAUAAAAGAUCAAUAUGUCAAUUUAAUUGAUAAUAUGCCUAUGAUAAGAAAUAGAAUGUUGUUGUUAAACAUUCAAAAUGUUGUAAAAUGUCUAAAAUCUUACAUAAAUGAUUCCUCUUGGAUUUGACACUUAAGAUUUGAACAUCUUAAUUUUGGAGGAUUGAAAUUAUUGAACAAGGAAAAUAUAGUGAGAGAAUUGUUUUCUAUAGAUCAUUAAGAUCAAUUAUGUGAAUGAUGCCUACUUGGAAAACAUUUCGAAAUAAUUUUCCAAAAGAAACAAUUACAAGAGCAAAGAAGUCUCUAGAGUUUAUUCAUGUGGAUGUAUGUAGUGUUAGGAUUAAAACACUCUAAUCUUAUUUUCUGAAAGCAAUAAUAAACUCAUGCAAAAAAUAAAGCAUAAAAACGCACGAAAUUUAUAGUGGUUCACUCUUAAUUUGAGAGUUACAUCCACUUGUAGCUGCUGUAGAUUUUCAUUAUGAUGAAAAGAGAGUACAAGAGAAUCCUAAAACACUUCACCAUCUAGGUUUUUCUCUCUACGUUUUUCUAUUUCUUUCAACACCCUAAAAGAAAUAAAACUCUCUCUAGGUUGGCUACCCUAAACAUAAUAUAAAUAAGAUAACCAAAUGAAACAUGUAAAAUCCCUAAAAUACCAUUACUAUUGGGAUAAUAAUUAGGCUCCACACGUCUUAACAAUCUCCCGCUUGGAGAUUAAUCCAUCAUCAACUAUCUUCACCUAUAGUGGCUACGACUUCUCUAUCUCAGCUAAGAAGUCCAAUUGAAAUUGUGCACAACUCUAGUUUCUCAAUCAUUGUGGUCUUUGUCAACAUAUCAACUGGAUUUCAAUUCCCCUAAAUCUUCUCGAGUGUUAAAAUUGUAUCUUCCAAAGCUGAUCUUAUGAAGUGAUACUAAACCUGUAUGUGUUUUGUCCUAACAUGAUAAAUAGGAUUCUUUGCUAGAUGGAUGGCACUCUGAUUGUCACAAUGUAACACAUUUCGCUUAUACUUGUGACCCAAUUCUUCCAAGGAAGACUACAACCACAUUAGGUCUUUGCUAGCCUCUGCCAUUGCAACAUACUCUGCCUUAAUAGUAGAAAGUGCAACUAUCUUCUACAACUUUGAUACCCAACUGACUGUAGUACCACCUAGAGUAUAAUCAUAUCCUAUAGUACUUUUUCUGCUAUCUAUAUCACCAGCCAUAUCAAUAUCUACAUACCCCUACAAACCUAAAUCUAACUUCCUAAAACACAAAGUCGACUCUAUAGUGCCUCUCAAAUACCUGAGAAUCCACUUCACCCCUUUCUAGUGUUAUUUUCCCGAAUUACUCAUAUAUAUACUCACAACUCCCACUGCAUGUGCUAUAUCCAAUCCAGUACAAACCAUAGCAUACAUAAGACCACUAAUACAUAAGACACUUUUGCCAUGUAAACCCGUUCUUGUUCAAUUGAGGGCGGCUGAUCUUUAAAUAGUCGGAAGUGACUAGCUAAAGGGGUACUCACAAGCUUCACUCCAACUAUAUUGAAUAUGCUAAGGAUCAAACCUUCUUCACAUACUCUUCCUGUGAUAGUUUCAAGACCUCUUUAUCCCUAGUAAUCCUCAUUCUAAGGAUUUAUUUUGCAGCACAUAAAUCCUUCGUUGCAAACUCAUCCUAUAACUUCUUUUUUGUUUGUCAAUCUCAUGUAUGCUAGCCCCAAAAUCCACAUAUCAUCAACAUAUAACAAUAAAAUAGUAUGAGAGCCAUGAAACCUCUUGAUAUGGCAACAAUGAUCUACUUGACACCUCAAAAAACCAUUAUUGCUCAUGAAGUUGUUGAACUUCUUAUACCAUUGUCUUGGAGCCUUUUUCAAGUCAUAUAGGCUCUUUUGUAGCUUACACGCCAUUUUAUUUUUUCCCUAAACCUGAAACCCUUAUAGCUUAUGCAUGUAAAUUUCUUAUUCUAAAUCACCAUGAAGAAAUGUCAUUUUUACAUCCAUCUACUAUAAGUGCAGAUCUUUUUUUAUCAUUAACCCAAGUACUGUUCUGAUAAUGGUUAGUUUGACCAUUAGAGAGAAAAUCUCUGUAUAAUCAAUGCCUUCCUUUUGCUGAAAGUCUUUUACUACAAGUCUUGCUUUGUAUCUCUUGCUACCAUCAUGUUCUUCCUUUAUUCGAUAUACCCAUUUAUUUUGCAAAUCUUUUUUCCCUUUUAGUAGUUCUGCCAAUAGCCAUGUUUGAUUAGACAUCAACGAAUCCAUGAAGUUGGCUACUCUAAACCAAAUCACAUGUGUAAAAUCCCUAAAAUUCCACAACUUAAAAUACUCUUACUAUUAGGAUAAUGAUUAGGCUCCACACAUCUUAACAUAUAGUCCAAUUCAUCCAAACUCUUUUGGUAAAAAUAAAUAUUUUUUGCUUUUCAUUGAUGAUUUUAGUAGAAAAGGUUGAGUGUAUUUUUUGAAGGAAAAAUCUAAAGUAUUUAGUGCUUUUAAGAAAUUUAAAGCAUUUGUUAAAGAGGAAAGUAACCACAAUAUAUAAGAAAUGAGAUUCAAUAGAAGACGUGAAUUCACAUCAAAAGAAUUUGAAAAAUAUUAUGAAAAUUAUGGGAUUCAUUCGCCUUUAACAACUCCAUAUUCUCCACACAAAAAUGGUGUAGUUAAAAGAAAAAAUAGAGUUAUUCUUGACAUGACUCAAACAUGUUGAAAAGUAAGAAGAUGGCUAAAGAAUUUUGGGCCGAAGCAGUUGAUUGUUGAUUUAUUUGUAAAAUCACUCUCCUAAUUGAAGUGUAUUGAAUAAAACAUCACAAGAAUCUUAGAAUGGAAUAAAGCCAUGUAUUUUCACAUUUGAGAGUAUUUGGAAGCAUUAUAUAUACUCAUAUGCCAAAUCAAAAGUAAUCAAAGUUAGAUGACAAAAGUGGAAUAUAUAUUUUCAUCAAUCAUGACUCAAGCUCCAAAUGGUACAAUUAUAGAAUCCAAAAAAUGGAAAAGCUCAUUAUUAAUAUAGGUGUCAAGUUUAAUGAAGAAACAUGAGAUUGGAAUGUUGAAAGGUAACUAUGAUACUUCUCCCCUUUAUGAAGAAGGAGAACAAACAAGAGAAAGUUUGCAAGAGAUUGUUACUCCACUUUCAUCACUACCCCCAUCAACUUAUGAAGUUCCCACAACAUCAUCCUCUUUUGAAAGCUCAAGUGAAAAGGACACCCUGUCUUAGAAGUCUACAAGAGAUCUAUGAAGUAACAGAAAAUCAAAAUGAUCUAACCCUCUUUUUUUUUUUUGCACAUUAUGAACAAAUAAGUUUUGAAGAAGCAAUUCAAGACCAAAGAUGAAAAUAUACCAUGGAAGAGGAAAUAAAAGUAAUAAGGAAGAAUGACAUAUGGAAAUUCAAAUCCCUUGUAAAAGAGAAAAACGCAGUUGAAGUAAAAUGAGUGUUAAAGAAGAAUGAAAAAGGGGAGGUAGAGGGAUACAAAACAAGAUUGGUGGCUAAGGGUUACAAGCAACAACAAAGCAUCCACUAUGUGAAUAACAAAUUGCAAUUGAUUUAUAAAAAAAUCUAGUUUUCCAUGAUCAAACCAAGCACAUCGAUUUAAUAUAUCAUUUUAUUAGAUAGUGCAUUGUGAAUAAGGAAAUGCAAUUAAAUUUUUGCAAAAUCUCAAGAUCAAAUUGUGGAUAUUUUUAUCAAGCCUCUUAAGUUUGAAAAUUUUAGAAAGUUGAGGAUGCUACUUGGAGUCACAAGUCAAGUUUAAGGGAGCAUGUUGGAAAAUUAAACUUGAUUUAGAAACUUUCUAAUUAUUAGAAUUAGAUUUAGUCUCUAAAAAUCAAGGGAGAAUAUUUUAUUUUGAGUUAUUAUUUUAGUUUCUAUUUUUGAAUUAUCAAACUCCGAAUGCUUCUAUAUUUUAUUGUUAGGAGUUUCUAUAUAAUUAAUUGAGUAUGUAUAAAUAAAAGAUUAUGUGAUAACUAAAAAAAAAAAGGAGAGUGGUGGAAUAUAAUAAAUAUUUAAUUCUUCCCAAUUUUAUAUUCUUUGUAAUUGUUUGUGUUUCUCCAUCAACCCUAUUACUCCAAUAUCUUUUACUUCCACUUCUCCAACACUUUUAUAUGAUGAAAACUGAGUCUCUUCAACUUUGUGAAUAAAAUUGUUGACAAUGAUUUCAAAAAACUUACCACCCGUCAAGAGGUAAUUGCCCCAAUGAAGACAUACACAAACAAUUGUCACAAUUCUUAAGUAUAAGAUUUUUCAAUUGCAUUAAUGAUGACCUCGUUAUCCAACUAGGCUACUUUGUGUCAUCACAAUUCAAUUUAUUUUUUAGAGAUUUCAACUUUGGAUGUGUGGUAGAGAAGGAUGAAAAUAUAGCUUUUGGCAAAUAUAUCGGUAACUUAAUUUUAUGGAUAUAUUAGGAUAUAUCGAUAAAUAUUUAAAUACAAAAUAUCAGUGAAAUGAAAAUUAAUCAAAACUUAUAAAAUUAUCUAAAAAAAGAUUGAAACAAAUGAUAAAAUAAGUAAUAAUAUAUAUAUUGAAAUUACUUUAAUUAGAGAAAUUUGAUAUAUAUAUAUAUAUAUAUAAUAAAUUUGUAACAUUAGUCAAUAACAUGCUAAUUUAAAAACAUAUUAAUAUUAAAAUGAUAAUGUGUUUAAUUUGAACAUAUUGUAGGAUAAAAAAGAAAUAAUGAUAUUUAUAUAAGUAUUUUUAAUUUAAAAAUAUUAAUAUUUUAUUUAUAAAUUUAUAUUUGUUUUAUAUUUAAUUAAUUUACAAAAUAUAUAAUAAGAUAAUUAAAUUUUAAUUAUUUAUAAUAAAUUUUUUUAACUAAUUUAUAAUAUAUAUUUAUAAUUUAUAAAAAAUGUUAUAAUAUAUAAAAGAUAUGAUGUUAUGGAUAUAUAUAUAUAUAUAUAUAUAUAUAUAUAUAUAUAUAUAUAUAUAUAUAUAUAACACUAUGUGCACAUCUAACACAAAUCUACAGAUGAUUCAAUAGGGUAGGCAACCCACGGCAAAUUCAAGCACUCGGGUUUGGGCCUUGCUCUUUUGUGUCCUAUGUUCAUUUAAAGUGUACAUAAAGGCAAUCCCACAUCUUAGUUUGAGAGAAAGCAAAGCCUUAUUUCAUGAUGGUGCCUCCAUCGAUCCACUAUCAAAGUUAGCAAAGUGGGCUUGGGCGUGGGCUUUUCUAGCUGACUGGAUUAAGAUUGACUCUUGAUCCACCAACAAAAAUAUCCAGAGCUUCAGCCACACCCUUUCUACCCUUCAAAUCAAACUUCGGAGGUGUAUCUUAUUCUACAUUUCUACCUUCUCUCUCUUUUUCUUCUUUUUCUAAUUUUUCCUUUCCUCUCUCUUAUUUUAUUCACUUAAAAUUUAAGAACUAAACCCUUAAUUUUGGAACUCAUACAAUUGGUUAUUGAUAAUAUUUUUAGUGAAAUAUAUUUUUUUAAUUCUUAUUUUUAACUACAAAUUUAAUUCUUUAAUAAAAAAAAAUUAUUUUGUCAAAUAACUAAUAUAAAAAAAUAAAUUUUAAUAAAUACACUAUGUACAUAAAUGAUGUGGGAUGUGUCAUACUCCAACAUAUGCAUGAGCCUAAUAGUCAAACAUUGCUAUGAUACUGUAUAGGUAAUAUCAAGGUCUGAAGAGGAGUCCUGCCAACAAUCAUCCCACCCCAAAUAUGCUGCGGGUUUCUUUCUUCAACAAAAAGGAAGUGAAGCCCAACUUUUUUAAUCAAUGGAAUAAGAAAGAGACGACCUCUCAAAUCAUCGGUAAGGGAAGAAUUUUGUUUUAUCAAAACAUUCUAAGCAGAAUCAAGUAGAAAAUCCAGAUCUUCUAUCUUUCCUGUAGGCAUGAAAAUAAAACUGGAAUGAGACCUUUCUUCUGAUUCUGUUCAGAUGCAGUUUUUAAAUGCACCCGAAGGGGCUUUUAGGCGUGUAAUCAUAAUUUAAGUUAGAAUUUUUUAAGCUUAUGAAUUGCAAUAUAUAUUGAGUAUAUUGCUUACGCAUUUUUUUUUGUUGAAUUGAGGGCAAGGGAGAAUUUAAAAUGAAUUUAGUGCUCAAUUCUCAUUCAAUAAUUUGUACGUGCUAUUAGGUGUAGUACCAAAUCUAGAUGAGUUAUUACUUCAUACACCACCCAUGCUUUCCCCCACACACAAACUACUCACUCUUUUAAGUUGUAUAAAUUUUAAUUUAUUUUGGCUACACAUACACACCCCAAAAAAAAAAAAGCAGAACCCUCUUGGUCUCCCCAAUUUGUAUAAUUGAUUUUUUUUUUAAUUUGAUGAGUAUUCAUCCUGCUUUUGGGAUUGGCUAUCUAGAUACAUUCAAGGUCGUGGAAAGAGCAGUAAACCCCCUACUAAGAAUCAUUAACUUUGUUGAUAGGAAUCAUUAAAUCCAUUAUAUAUAUAAAGACAACCAAAUAAUGAUAUUUGAUUAUUUCUUCAACCUUACAACAUGAUGUUUCUUAUGAAUUCUUUUUAUCAUUCAUAGAGAUUUAUCAUAUAUAAACAGAAAACAUCUCUUAUCUCAUUCACUUCUCGAUAGAUUCUAAAACAAAUUGUUGCCUUGUGAUGUAUAUGUUGUUGAUAAGAAACCCCCCUUAUCUCUCUCUCUCAUCUUCAUUCAAAUUAAGCAAAGACACCACCUGCUGUUCUGAAAAUGCCACCACCUGCGGUGACAUUGGAGGCAUUCAAUUCCAAGUUCAAGUCCAAGUCCAAGUUUAAUGAAUCAUAUUCUAUGUUUGCUAAACAUUUGAUAUAUUCUCUACUUUCAUUUAUUUAUUUAUUGAUAUCUAGAUUAUACUCACACGAUGCCUCCAAAAAUGGUAGUUUGUAUUGUAGUUGAGUCUUUAUCAAUCCUAGAGAAGAUGCACUUAAGAGGGUAUUUGGGCAGAAAGGCUCUCCACUCGCAUGCAUAGGAGCCUUUUGCAGUUCUAUUAGGUCAAUUAUAAAAUCUAGGCCAAAAUAGGUCUGGAGCUAAAAAUCAAAUGGUGAGUUGUGAAGGAAUUCUUUGGCAAGCCUGUGCAUAACACAUUCCAUGUGUUAGAAGUAGGUUGGCUAAUAUAAAUUACAACAAAAUUUUUUGGCAUGCCCAAUGAGACCUCUAAGUCUACUCAUGCUUUGAGACCCCAAACAAAGAAUAAUGGGUUGCAAGAAAAUAAAGAUGAUCGAUGCAAAAAUCAACACCUUCAUAUGGAUCUCUACUGCAAUGAGAUCCAUGAUGUGAAAUUAUCGUGAUGAGAACCUUAGAAAUAAUGCGUUGGAAUUUUAUUUUAUUUUUCUCCUUUGCACAAGUCUUUCUUAAGAAGUCACUUAGAAGCAACAAAACAAAAAGGAUUGUUAGUUGAUCAUAGCACGUAGAAUAGAUUCUAUUAUAUAAUUGAAGUUGUAUACUAAUUUCUAUUGAACGAAAUCUUUGAAUUCUGUGGUGAAUAUUUGAUGGUUAAAUGAAUAGAAAAUGUACCUACAUAACUUCUUGAAAAUUUUUUUGGUGAAACUAUGAAAAUAUGUUCAUAGAAACAUUGUUUUAAAAUAGAUGAUUAGUUAUCAAAUUUUUGAAAUAUAAGGAUUCAGAUAUGAUGGAAUAUGAAUUCCUUGUUGUGAUAUGUUACUUAUUCUUGUGGCAACAUGAAUUAAAGUUGUUUCUAACUCUAAAUUGCAAUAUGAGCAAUAUGGAAGUUGAAAGGGCCCUCACAACUUGAAAAUAUGUAAGGUUAAGAGGAACUCAUGCAUAUAUAUCACCAGGAACUUUAUCUCCUAUCGCAUGCGAGAUAUCACAAUCACUCCUCAAUGCAAACACAAACAUCCUCGUUGUGUCCCGCAAUCCUUGGGAUUGUGGGGCCAAAUAGACAAACGUCCUUCACCAGGUCAAACAAAUUCCCACACUAGGGUUGGAGAUUGACUUUGAUACGAUUUAUUACUACCUGUACCCAACCACCCCCACACCGAGGUUGAAGAUUGACUUUGAUACCAUUUAUAACUACUUAUACCCAAUUGUAUAGAUAUUGUUUGUUUUGAAUAUAAAGAGGUUCUCACGACUUUAAAAUGCGUCUACAAGAUUAAGAGGAGUUCAUGCAUAUAUAAUGUAAGAAACUUUUUUCCUUAUCCAAUAUGGAACAUCACAACAUUGGUAUUUAAUAUAUUAUGAAAUUGGAAGAAAGGGCACCAUGAAGGCUGGCCCUAUAAAUGGAUUAAUAAGAGGGGCAAUGAACCCUUAAAAGAAAGGGAAAGUAUCCUAGAUGAAAUAUCCAAAACAUAUUCUGAAAGAUUUCCGUUAGGAUUAUUGGGGGCAUAGACAUAUAGCAUUGGAUGGAAGUUCUUAAAAACAAAAAAUGAUAUAGGUAUCUAAUGAUGUGCUAGUAUGAAUGAAAUGUGCAACUUAGAAUGAUCAUCUUACUAGUGAUGUUUUAAUGAAUUGAAUUUCUAUGUAUUAACUGUGUAUAUUUACUAAUUAUCUCGCUUAAAUUUUAUGUUAAAAUUCUUGUCUUUCGAGUUGUUUAGUUCACUCUUUAAAUUAUUUUUUGAUUCAAUAAAAGGCACCUAGAGCUAAUAAAUUACUUGGGUUACUAAUUGGUGGAAUACUAGGCAAUCUGAAACUUUUUUGAAUGAUAUUCAAAAGAUUUGUUUAAAAUUUAUAAUGAAUAAUGAUAAGUCGUCUCUUGAAUCGCCAAAUAUUCUAGGUUCAAUUUGAAAAGUAUUCUAUUAGGGUAACUAUGUUAUGCUAGUGACGAUAUCGAUCGUGACCUUGAUAUGGAGUUAGAGCUGCUAACUAUGAUGAAUGCACUAACUAUGGAUAUGAUGUCGGAAAUAGACCGAUUUUAUAUCACCCUUGAAUUCGAAUUAGCAAAAGCAAUGUCUCCUUGCAUAAUAUGGAUUCCAAACAUUCAUGAUCUAGAUGUGAAUGAGUCGAAUUACUUAUCCCUCAAUCUAUUAGUGAACUAUCUCUCCAGGGAUUGUGAAAGAUGUUCCACUAGAAAUAUUCUUGUUAUUGCUUCGACUCAUAUUCCCCAAAAAGUGGAUCCCGCUCUAAUAGCUCCGAAUAAAUUAAAUACAUGCAUUAAGAUUUCCAAGGUUUAGCCAAGGCUUAGCUCAAGACCCCACUACUUGUCGUAUUUGGUUUGGUAUUGCUACCGCACAUGACUUUGAAAGUCAUGAUGAUAUUACUGAGGAACGUCUUUAUCAAAAUAUUUUUGCUUCUCAUUUUGGGCAAUUAGCAAUCAUUUUUCUGUGGACUUCUGAAAAUUUGUUUCAUGUAACUUGGCAAGGAAAUUUUGAAUCAUGGGUACAAGACCCUUUACAUGUAAGACCUAUUGCUCAUGCAAUUUGGGACCCUCAUUUCGGUCAAUCGGCUGUGGAAGCUUUUACUCGAGGGGGUGCUCCUGGACCAGUGAAUAUCGCUUAUUCUGGUGUUUAUCAGUGGUGGUAUACAAUCGGAUUACGCACUAAUGAAGAUCUUUAUACUGGAGCUCUUUUUCUAUUAUUUCUUUCUGCUAUAUCUUUAAUAGCGGGUUGGUUACACCUACAACCGAAAUGGAAACCGAGCGUUUCGUGGUUCAAAAAUGUCGAAUCUCGUCUCAAUCGUCAUUUGUCAGGACUCUUCGGAGUAAGUUCAUUGGCUUGGACAGGACAUUUAGUCCAUGUCGCUAUUCCUGGAUCCAGGGGGGAGUACGUUCAAUGGAAUAAUUUCUUAGAUGUAUUACCGCACCCUCAAGGGUUAGGCCCACUUUUUACAGGUCAGUGGAAUUUUUAUGCUCCAAACCUAAUUCAAGUAGUCAUUUAUUUGGUACCUCUCAAGGAGCAGGAACUGCCAUUCUAACCCUUCUCAGGGGAUUCCAUCCACAAACGCAAAGUUUAUGGCUGACUGAUAUUGCUCAUCAUUAUUUAGCUAUUGCAUUUAUUUUUCUCGUUGCUGGUCAUAUGUAUAGAACUAACUUUGGGAUUAGGCACAGUAUGAAAGAUCUUUUAGAAGCGCAUAUUCCUCCGAGAGGACGAUUGGGGCGUGGACAUAAGGGUCUUUAUGACACAAUCAAUAAUUCGAUUCAUUUUCAAUUAGGCCUUGCUCUAGCCUCUUUAGGGGUUAUUACUUCCUUGGUAGCUCAACACAUGUAUUCUUUACCGGCUUAUGUGUUCAUAAUUGGAAAAAUGAGCACCGUGGAAAUACAUGCCACUCAGCCAAAGAAAGAUGAUGGAGAGUUGCCCGAAAUGGGCACUAAAUACUUUUCGAGGGAUCUCCUCCAAAUCAUUGGUAUGGCUAUCGAAAUCGUGAGCAUCAACAUGUAGGUUCCAGAUCGGUGGUAUCAGGGCCCUUAGCUAUUGUUCUUGAGAAAUGACCAGGUCUGGCCCAUUCCUCGAAAGAAGUUUUUAUGGGAUCCAAAUCUAACAAAAUUUUAACUUUUGUUUCCGGCGAACAAAUAAUCAUUGAGUCCUCCUCUUUCCGGACAACACAUACAAAGAGACCCGCCAACAGUCAAGAAAUUAGUGAACCUAUGAGAGAUAUUUAUAAUUAGUUUCUUUCUCUUCUCUUAUAUCUCCCAUCUAUCUAUUUUCUUUAGUUAUUCACUAAAGCAAUUAUGAUUUGGAAGUCGAUUCGGGCAAGUGUUCUGAUCUAUUAUGACAUAGCUUUGAGGCGCUUACUGGACCUGUUUAAUAUUAUAAAACCUUUUUCGGUCUUUGAAUUUGAACGCAAAAACGAUUUUUUUGUGCAACCUAGUGUAUUCAUAUUUCAAUUAGAAGUUCUUAGAUAGAUCUAUAUUAUGUGAUUAGUUGGUAUUCAAAAUAGACAAUUCAAGUAGGUAAGUCGGAAAUGCCACUCGAACCCAGAGCUAGCUGGUUUUCCCUGAAAUGCGUUGAGUCCGCUUAUCUCCAACUCGUGAACUUAGCCGAUACAAAGUUAUAUGAUAGAAACUCUUCUUUGGUGUUAAGGUAAUAGCUAUGAAUAGUCAUUAGGCAAGAUUGGUUGGAUUAGCCCAUUUUUCUGUAGGUUAUAUAUUCACCUAUGCGGCUUGAAUUCUAACCUUGUGUCAAGACCUACGAGCCAAGGGACCGUCUCAGGUAGACAAUUUCUAUGGGGCGUAGGCCUCCCAAAAGGUAACGGAGGCUUGCAAAGGUUUUCUCGGGCCUGACGGAGAUUGGCCCUCGAGUGCAAAGGUAGAAGGGAGCUUGACUGCAAGACCCACCUGUCGAGCAGGGACAAAAGUUGGCCUUAGUGAUCCGACGGAAAUACUAGAUCCCCACUUACACAAGCAAAUUGUUGAUAAAACUCCAAAAUGGCACUUUCUUUUGACCCAAUCUGCUUGUGGAACCUCAAUAUCCACGGGCUUAUUAGCUAAAUGACAAUUGGCACAUACAAUACGUCCAGUCGCUUCUCGUGGAUCUUCAUAACCCUGUUGUGCAAAAAUGGGGGGAUUUCACCUGCCCCAUGCUAUUUGCCGAUUUAUUCAAUGCUGGAAUCAGGCUCGUGGGAUCGGGACCCUUUAUCCCGGCCAUUAAUUGUUAGGAAAUCUCAAAUCAGACCAUUUGUCCUUACUUCCAUAAAGGAAGCAUGGGUCUUUUUUAUAGGAAAACUUUUUUUUUUCUUGGUACCAAUUCAAUGCUAAACAAGUCCGAACUAAUUGAAUACUUGUAUAGCGACGACCCUUCCACUCGGCACCAUCAGAUCACUUAGAGAUCACAUGCAAUUGUGAAUGCAACAACACUCCCUAAUAAAAAUAAAAUGCAAUUCACAUGCACAUGUUCCAACACUCCCCUAACAAAAAAAAAAAAAAAAAAAAACUUAAAAACAGUUUCUAAUUAAUAACAAGAGCAAGAUAUCUCAAUAUCCCUAUGAUCAAUAAUCAGAAACAGCAUAAAUGACAACUUAUGCUAGUUUACCUUAACAUUCCCAAAACAUAAAUAUCCAAAUUAUUAAAGAUAGUUAAAAUUGAAACUGAAAUGAAAAGGAGAAUUAGAGACAAUGAGACAACACCAAAAUUUACUUGGAAAACCUCCUAAGAGGUCAAAAACCACGAACCUACAACCAAUAAAAAAUUCUACUAUGAUGAUCAAUCAAGGUGUACAAGGAUUUACCUAGCUCAAGAUCUCCAAUCCCUCACGCACUACUUGACAAGCGCCUUCACACCUCUCCACCAUGCCUUCAUCUUCAGGAACAUAUUUGGAGUCAUUUCCAAACUUGAUCUCGGCCUUCUCCUUGAAGCUCCAUCAAGAAGAAAUUGAGUUUUCACCCAAACCCAAAAGAAUGAGAGAUGAGUGUUCAAGGAAUCAACUCAUUUCAUUUUAGAAAUCCAUUUAAGAAAAUUUUCUUAAAAAACUUAGAUGAAAUUUUCUUGGAAAGCAAACAACCUCAAAAGGAAAAGGAAAGGAAAAACUCUCUUACGACUAUUGCUCUCUUAGUUUCCAAAAAUGGGAGAAAUUUGUAUUUAAAAGGGGAAAGAAUGGUUGAAAACUGAUCUAAAAAAGAAGUUAUUUUGAUCGAUUUGCCCCUGCACUUGGAUCUAUCCAGAAACAAGGGAACAAAAACCUUUUAGCAAAAAAUAUUUCUCCCAGCUUCCCUAAUACUUUUAAAAAUAAUUCAAGGCUACCAACAUGUUGAAAAACAAGGUUGAUUCACAUUCCUUCAACACUAACUCAACUACUUAUCUCGGCCUCUUAGCAAAUUCAAAAUCUUAAUCUUCAUAGGUCAAGUAACCCAACAACGGAUUUAAAAAACCAUAGUUAGUAGACACUUAGGUAUUUUGUCUAGAAUUACCAACCUAACUAUAACACUCACAACUUUUAAAAAUUUUAAAAAUCAUUUAUAGUAUUGAAAAAUCACUUGUGCUUUAUAGAAAAAUAUUUGAUAGGUGAUUCGCCUAAAAACACUUUCAGAAGCACUUUGAGUAAAAACACUAUCAUACGCACCCUUAAUUUCAUGGAUAAUUAAAAACGAAGCAUAAGCAGUAUAAUCCAAUAAGAGAAAUAUUUAAAUAAAAUUAAUCAACUCGAAAGUGUAUUGUUCCAAUUUAAUAAAGAACUGUAAAUUUAUUAGCGGUGGCCAUAAUUCCCAUGAUGCAAGAAAACUGAAAACUAAUUAUAACUUAUAGCCUAACAAUUUUUUAAACCUAUCUUCGUAUCAUUCAUUGAAAAUGCCUAUUUUAAAUACUAUUUUUCUGUUUUAGAAACUGCAAACAUGUAAUAACUAAAACAAAUAAAACGAACAUGAUCGUGUUUUCAUAUAAAAAAUAAAAAAUUAUUAAAAUAUUCUUAAAUAAAAUUCACAAUAUUUAUUUUGGCAAGGCCUUAUUAGAUCUUAUUUUUAUUAAUUUCUAGAACCCUAUCCGUAAACUUGUCACAGAUAAACCCAUUUCACCCUUUUCCAAACAACUCUGAACAAAUUAAUGUAAUUGUGCCCAAUCCAAUAUUCAAACAUAUAUAUACAUAAUAGUUUGUUUCAUAAUCAAAACCUGAUAACAGGCAAUGAGUUCAUUACAAAGAAACUAUGGAGUAGUACAAGGAAAAAUAUCUGUAUAUAAUUAAUCAGCUUUGGACCACUUGCCAGAGUUUGGAUAUCCUGGUACACAUGCAUCGUUAUUUCACAUGGAUACAACACGCAACCUACGGGAAUCAUAGUAGAAUUCUUCAUCUCCAGCUAGCACUGCAUCAAUUAUCAAAACCAUGCAUUUAGGGAUCAUAUCCCAUUGUAGUUAUGGAAGCAAGAACAUUAAUAAUUAAUUGUUUUAAAAAAAAUCAUAAAAGUAAACAGAAUAUUGUAUGUUCUGUGUACUAUUUAAGAAGCAAUUCAAUUACCUCUCUGGAUGUGAGAUAUUUUGGACCAAUCCUCCCCUGUUUCCUCAUGGUAACGAUCUUGCAGAGUAGGAGAGCCGCUGAUAUUCAGUUCCUGUAGUGAAGCUAUCUGGAGAAGGCGCUCGGGCAGGCUUUCCAGCCUGGGGCAGUUAUAUGUGGUCAAGGAGUGGAGAUAUGGCAUUACUGACCUCCGUUCUUCUACUUCUCCUUUUACUUCCCACUUUUCCCACUCAAACAUAUGUUUAAAACUGAGGUGCUUCAGCUUUGGGAAUGCAGUUGUUGAUCCCAAAAACUCACCACCCACGUAUUUCAGUCUCUUCAUAUGCUCUAUUAUCAGGCUUUCAAGGAGAGGUAGUUCCCCCAAUGGAGGCAAACAUGUAACCUGUGCGCAAUACACAAUUUCAAGCUUUUUCAAUUGGGCCAACGAUGAGGCCGCUAUCCAACUGGGGAACUCGGUGGCAGCACGGUAAUAACUUAUUUUUAAAGACUUCAAGUUUUGAUGAGGCUGUAGAGCUUCAACCACACCUUUUGAAGCAGCUGAGGCAAGCCACCCAAAACGGCUUAGUUCCAAAUGAUGGAGGUGUUUCUUAUUCUUCAAUUCUGCUUCGCCAGCCUCCUCUGCAUCUUUCACAUUAGCUAUCCCACUUAUCACAAGACCUCCCCUGAGGCUGUUUGAGUUUUUCAGUUCUCCUAUUUUGCAUACGCCAAUUAUACGAAACCCAGUUAAUGUCCGAAGUGAGGUCAAUCUCCCGAUUCCUUUUGGCAACUCCGAUACUUCACUGCCGUACAAUUCAAGAUGUCUCAGGUUAAUUAGUUUUCGCAUCCCCUGAGGUAGUUUUUCAAGGAGGCUACAUCCAAAAACAUCUAAAGUUUGCAAAUUAUAUAGAUCACAAAUUGUUUCGGGCAAUUCCGUCAACCACUUAUUAUUUGAUAGAUUAAGGUACCUCAGAUGUAUCGAUUUCCCCAAGUUCCUCAGCAGUUCCCCCAAAAAAACACUCCCACUCAAGUCUAAUGCCCUAAGGCAUACCAAAUGUUUGAAUAAAUUAGGUGGGGGUUGAGGAGUGAAGGAAUUGACCAGAUGUGCAGCAAGCAAUGUGUGCAGAUAUUUCAAAUUAUGGAUAGUGCUAGGAAAUCCAACCCUUCCUGCGCUAAUUAAGGUUGCAUGACGAGCCUUUUGGAAGGAGGAAGCCAUCCUCACUUCCUUUUCAUCAUCAAUCUCCAGAAUGAAGCAUUCAUUCUUGGUCAAAUAUUGGGCAAGAUCAUGUACUGUAUCAUGCAUCUUGCACGAUAUUAUGUUGCCCUCAUCAUCUCUACGAAAAUCUUGGAAAAGUGACCGUGACACCAAGUCUUCAAAGUAGUCUCCACCUGUUUUCUCCAUCUCUAUACUUUCUCUAGAAUUGAGAUAGCUAUUUGCCAUCCACAACUUGAUCAAUCUAUCUUUACUAAUGAUUUGAUCUUUUGGGAAGACAGCACAAUAUGAGAAGCAGCGUUUAACAGCAGGGUAUAAAUCAUAAUAACUCAACAAUAAAGGAGGGGAAAGAUGUUUCUCAAUCACAUCAAGUUGCCAUAUUUCAUUAUUCAAAAUACUCUCCCAAUCUUCUUUAUUAUCUUUUAAGCGCAUGAGACUCCCUAAAACCUUUGCAGCAAGAGGCAAGCCCCUACACUCGUCUGCUAUUUUCCUGCCAAUGUUUUCUAGUUCUUCAACUUUUUCUCUACUCCUUCCGUAAAAGGCUAUGUUACUGAACAAUGACCGACAUUGCUCCUUGGACAAUUCUCCCAAGGGGACCUUGUACGUGGUUCCCAUCAUUGUAGAAACGUUUUCGUUUCGUGUGGUCACCAAAAUUCUACUUCCCGGUGCCCCACCCUUGAGAGAACUCUCUACUUGUUCCCACAAUUCAUAGUUUUCAGUCCAAACAUCAUCUAGCACGAGUAGGAACUUCUUAUCGGCAAUAAGUGUGCAAAUUUUUUGUUGUACAGCUUCCAGAUCAUGGAAACCAGAAGACUCUUUCUGGAGGGCUUCAAGAAUAGCCCUAGAAAUCCUCAUUGGGUCAAAAGGAUCAGACACACAGACCCACAUCCUUUCAUGGAAAUAGGACUUCACCUUUUCGUGGUUGUAUGCUAAUUGAGCAAGAGUUGUUUUGCCGAUCCCUCCCAUCCCAACUAUGGAGACGAUGUAGAGGGAGGAGCUUUCUUGGCAACUCCCACCCAACAGCUUGCCUAUUAUAAUGUUUAUAUCUGCAUCCCGACCGCAGAACUGGCUAAC